GACCAACGGAAGAUAUAAUGCAACCUUGUACCCUUUCUCAGCUGAAAGUUGAACAGACUGGUUGUACUUCUCAGUAUAAUAACUGGCUGUUGGAACGACUACUUUGGCCACCUGAGGGAAGAGCGGGAGCCGAUUGAGAGAGCACCAGGUUGAAACUGCUAAAUGUUCAGCUACUGGUUCGUACUUGGAAUAAAGAUCCUUGGCAGCGGGUUCAUAUUUGGUGUAAAGGGUUUUCGCAAGACCUGAGGCAGUUUCAACAACUCCGGCAGUUUUGACUUCUGUCAUAACUGAGCGAGCCGCAACUGGAGCCUUCUGAGCAGUCGAGAAGCCUUGGGUAGACACCUGCCUUAGAACUGCAGGGACAUGACUCUGGACCUUGUUCAUCGACUCAUCUACCUACAAUCAUAAUUGCUAAUCUCUUAAAUUCUCAUUAACAAUGGUGCGGGCCGAAAAUUAUUCAGCUGUCUCAUCUGCAAAUGUUAUUGCAGUCAUUUUUAACAUCUCUCAAUGAAUUCAGAAUGAUUUGAAUGCAGAGAAAAAUAAAUUCUUUAAUAGCCAUUCCAGCAGCAUUCAAUCCCGUGAAUGAGUGGAUUCUUCCUUGAUUACAAUAAUCAAAAAGAAAUUCCAGCACUCAAAUUAUCUAAACAGUCUGAUUAAUCUCUACAUGUAAAGACAAGGGUUAGCCCCAUUAAGGUUCAAAUCCUGAUGCAAAUGGUUCAUUUACAGGCAAAAUUACAGUUACGAAAAUUCUAUAAAAUAAUUAAAAAUAGAAUUAGAAAAUUACCUUGCGAUCGACAAAUUUGAGAAAUUCGACGGGAACGCCGUGGUAUUUGUCAUAGACGGGUCCCACGAAGGUCUUGACGGUGCCCUCGACGGUCUGAAUUCCGGGCUUCAGAGGCCCUGAUUUGUCCUUGGCGUAAUUGUAGAUUUUCGCAGCAAAAAUCACCGCAUGGAACGCCGCAACUUGCACGAAUUCCAAACGCUUCAUCCUCUGCUCUUCGGUCUCAUCCAUCUUAUUAGAAAAAUCAUCCAAAACGACACCUCAAUACAAAUCAUAAAAUUGCAAACAAACAAUAAAUAAAGAAAUAAAAGCCUGGGAGGGAUCAAAUUCUUACAACUUCUGGUUGGGAUUUGGGGUUUGUUUCUGCCAUUACCACAAAUUAGCAGUUCUAAUAUUUGAAAUUUACUAGCUAGGAAUGUAUAAUAUAUAUAAAUACUUAAAAGGGACGUUAUAAACGGCACGUUAUUCCAGAAGAGAGACGGUGAGGUGAGAAAGCGCGUUGCCGAUGAUUCUACGUUGAAACUUCGAGUUUAAGGUAACGUUUACUUGGUGAGGUAGGCAUAGCCCCCUUUUUUGGUGUUUCACUUUCUUUGUUUAGAUAUUCAUUUGUCCUUAUUUGGAGGCCCUGAAUAGUAAUUUUUAUAAGAACGUGUGAUUAAAAAGUAAGAAAAAUUUAGAAUUUAUUUACAUAAUAUUUUAUUGUAUAAAUGUAUGAUUAAAAAUGAUUAUAUAGAAAAAAAUUUGAAAUAAUAAUUGUCAAUAAGAGACUUUGUAAUGAAUGAGGGAGCAUUAUAAUUGGUUCUGAUGCUACCAAAAAAUAUUACCUGAAAGAUCUCGAACUUGAUGAUCGUACUUCGAACUUUGAUGAACACGAACGGUCUUUGAAUACCUACAACAAAGGCAAUGAGAUGUGUGCUCGUCGCCCCUCUGACGCUUAAGUUAGAUAGGGAAUUUAGUGCGUAAGGCUAUAAAUUGGAGAUAAUGAAAAACGUACCUCAAGAAUGAGCACAUGUUGUGUAUUUAUAGGUGUUAAUGAUGGGGUCCUAGAAGGACUUAUUCUUUUGCGGUCCUUAUCUUCGUAGGAUAAGGAGUUAGUGGUUUAUUCCAAGUGUUCAAACAUUGUUUGAGUCGAAGAAGGAGUCUAACAGGGUAAGGGUUGUGGGUCAAAGUAGGAUCAGUGUUCUCAUAGAUCGUAUAGAAGGGCUGACGAGUCGACAUACAUACCCCAACCUCAAAUGCUUGACCUUGUUUUGGUAGUUUUAGGGGAUAUUGAGAUCGGGGUUCAUGAUAAGUGAUUGGGGUUCAUGGACCGAGUUUGGGAUUGACAAGAUCUGGGAUCAUCACUGGCCCCCGUGCAUCGAGGUCAUAGAUUUCCGUCCAAGCCUGAUCUACGAGCGAAGAUGUAGAGGCAUAAAUGUCCAGGUGUCUUUCCACGUGUCGAGCGUUCAAUGGGAUGUUAGAGAGCGAUCUCAGAUGGCCGCCAUGUGUAAUGUCAAAGUGUGACCUUAGAUGCUCGCCACGUGUCUUGGUCCAAGGGUUGAGAUUGCAUGACCGUUGGUAUCCUAUAGUCCCCUAUAAAUACCCCAACUUUCACCCCCCAUUUUUCACUUUUCACUCUCAUCUCUCAGUAAAUCGAGCUCGAGUUCGUGGAUUAGUAGGUUUGUGAGCAACCAUCCACAAAGGUAAGAGUUUGAGCCCUUAAGUUGUUUUAUUUGAUUAUAGUAUAAUGUCGAGUAGUGGUAGUACUGGGUCUAAUAGCAGUGACAGUAGCUAGGUGCCUAGAGACUCGAACUAUAGUGAUAGGCUUGAAGAUGUAGAUACAUCUAUUAUUCCUAUGGCCGUCCCCUUUAAUUCCCAUAUUGACAACCUGAUAUACCCUAAAGAACCGACCAAGUACAAAGAACAUGUGAUUAUUAAAAUAGCUAGAGAGUUCAGGGUCAUGCCAAUUUGUGACAUUAGAACUCCAGGGCCAACUGAGACCGUGUUAGGAGCUCGAGAGGGGGAGAUGACCUUUUUUAAGAACGCUCUUAAGGCCAGGCUUAGGUGGCCUCUUCACCCAUUAUUCAUCCAUUUUCUGACCUCAUACUACCUGUCUCCGGGUCAACUAGCCCCGAACGAUUGGAGGUUAUUAGUGUAUUUCUUCAUACUGUGUAGGUGCCUCGAGGUUGAACCUAGGGUCAACCUACUUCGAAUGGUUUUUGAUUAGAAAUUCUCCCUGGGAUAUAACUGUUUUGUUUAUUUAUCCACAAAGGGGGGGGGGAUUUAGAACUCCUGAGACCUCGAGCUCACUCAGGGGUUGGAAGGAACGCUUCUUUUUUGUGAAGCCUCAAGACGCCGACCAUCCUUUUAGCUCGAAGUGUGAAAUCCCUUAUAAGGAUAGGUUCAACGAAGGUCAAGCCUAUUUCGAGGUUUUAGAGACAGAUAGGUUGAGAUUAGUUAACCACAACCCCUUUACAGACAAGAUCGAUUACUUGCUCGAGGACGACACCCUCGACCUUGCUAACGUGAAAGGCCUCGAGGGUACGAUCUUUCUUUUUAUGUAAUCUUUGCCAUUUCAUGUGUAAGCAUCGAUCUAUAGUUCGAGCUAAUGUCUUUGUCAUUUCUGCUUGCAGAGUUCGAGAUGUCUUUCGAUCCGUUCGCACUCUUGGACAACGUACGUCAAAAAGCAAAGGGCCUGAAGUCAAAAUUCCCGAUGACUGCCCUGUCCAAGGGGAAAAAAGGGGCAGGGGAGGCCGCCUGUCCAACCUUGGUGGACCUGGGGCAGAGCUCGCAAAACCUGACCUGUCCACGGCAGCCAGUCCCUCAACAACAAGCUCGGGCUCGUACUCCUUGCUAUAGGUGGGACCUCCUAGCUGAUGACGACGACCCUAUGCCCACCAAGUCGCUCGAGGAAUACGCUGACUGUGCUCUUAUCCAGGGCAUAGUUGACAAGUAUGAGAAGAGGUCGACAUGAAUGAAGGGGUUCGGACUCUCGAGCUCCAUACACUGAAGGUUUGUUUUUAAUAUGAAUGCUUCUGGUACCCUCGAUAGGUUUUUGCAUUCGUACUAACGUCGGGUUCCAUACCUCUUUUUGUAGACACUAAGCGUAGCUUGGGGUCUGGGGCCUAAGGGCUUGAAUUCCUCAGAUCAUAUAGUGGAGCUCGAAGCUAAGAGCGAUGUUGCGCUUAAGAGGGCCCAAGAGCUUGAAAAGGCCCUGGAGGCGGCCAAGGCGGACUUUAAGAAGGCCAAGGACGAGGUCGAGUUGGCAAGGGACCAAGCUGAGGACGUGAAGCUCGAGCUCAUUCAGUCCCGAAGCUCUUUUGAGGAGGAACUUGCGAAUGCUCGAGCAGAGACCCGGACUUAAGCCGUCGAUGAGUUCAAGACUCUCCUGGGCCAGUACGGGUCUAGCUCGUACUACUAUGGAUUGCGGCUAGCUCGUUCAUUCCUCUGGACCAAGCUCUCCAAGGAUUUGAAGCCCGUGGUUGAGGAGCUAAAGACUGUGAACGAGCUCGCAAAGGACCUCGAGCUCUCUUCUUCUGAGGGCGAUGGGGAUGAUGACGACGACGAUGUUUGGGAUGGUGAUGAGGUCGGGACUGUUGAUCAGGACGAUGUCAAGAUUGUUGAUAUAGAUUAGGUUCCCCCGACCCCGAGAUUUGAUUUUUUGUUCGUGCUGUACAUUGCCCGAUGUGGCCUAUUACUUCUUUUGAUUUUUCAAUGCCAAGUAUAUUGCCCAAAUUGGGCAUUUUGUUAUCAGUUCAUGUGUUUUAUUUUUUGCUAUGAGAUUUUGUGUUCGUGCGUAAACACCAUAAUUUUGAAUUCGAGCUGUUACAAUUGUUAACGUAGAUCUCGUGUGUCGCAACCAACUAGCUAGAUUUUGCCUACCUUAAAAAUACUGAUCGUUGAUACUAUAGAUAGAUAGAUCUUUUUACUUUAAAAAUUGGGUGUUAACUUCUAAGUUCGAGGGUGUUUUGUUAUGUUUGGGGUCAACUAGUUAGCGUACUAGUAUUGGGUACUGAUUUUUUGCUUUGUUUAUAUUGAGGGACGACCAAUUGGUCGCUGAUGAAUUAAGGGAAAGGUCGGGCUUGGUUACAUGAGGGGCAGGUAUAUCAUGCACCCGAUCUCGAUCUCAGAAUUCUUUCUUGAUUGAGCAUUUUGGGAUCGAUGAGGUCGAGCUUAUAUGCUUGACCUGUUGCUAUUUGAGUUCAUGUGUUUGGUCCUAUUGGUUGAGUGUUAGCUGCAUGCGCGGAGCACAGUCUUACGCUAAUUUGUUAAGGUAUUAGCUGCAUGCGCAAAGCACGACCUUACGCUAAUUUGUCAAAGUAUUAGCUGCAUGCGCGGAGCACGGUCUUACGCUAAUUCUGUAAAGGUAUUAGUUGCAUGUGCGGAGCACGGCCUUAUGCUGAUUUUUCAAGGUAUUAGCUGCAUGCGCAGAGUACGACCUUACGCUAAUUUGUCAAGGUAUUAGCUGCAUGUGCGGAGCACGGCCUUAUGCUAAUUUUGUAGGGAAUCAACAUCAUAAAGAAAAUUCCAUGUGUUAUUAAAAGGGCUAAAGCACGAAAAUUAAAAACGAAAUUAAACAAACAUAAAGCGGGCAUGCAAGCCCUAAAAGGGAAAAUUAUAGUUAUAGCUAGUCACUUGUAGUAUAUUUUCAAAUUAUCGACGUUCCAUGGCCUUGGGAGUGGUUUUCUCGAUGUGUCUCUGAGGCUAUAGGCUCCACCUUUAAGUUUUCUUAUGACCUCGAAGGGUCCUCCCAUGUCGGUCCGAGCUUCCCUGGUUGGUGUCUGGCGGCUUCUGUUUUUCUAAGGACAAGAUCGCCAGCUCUGAACCUCCUCGUCUGGACCUUGCUAUUGAAGUGCUUUGCCGUUCUAUUCUGAUAACUUGUAGCCCUAAGUGAGGCUUGCUCCCUUACCUCUUCAAGCAAGUCAAGGUGCUCAGUAGUUUGUCUCUCCCUAUUUGUCUCGAGCUUUCUUAUUGUGGGGAGGCUAAUCUCGAUUGGGAUGGUAGCCCCCAGUCCAAAAGCAAGCAUGAAGGGCGUUUCACCAUUUGCUAUUUUGUGCGAAGUCCUACACACCCAUAGUAUCGAAGGCAGUUCAUCAGGCCAGUCACCUUUGGCAUCCCCUAUCCUUGUUCGGAGGUCCUGCAAUAUGAUUCGAUUAGUUACUUCGACGAGCCCAUUACUUUGCGGGUGUGAUACCGAGGUCAAGCGAUGAUCAAUCCCAUUGCUGGUGCAGAAGUUCCUGAACUGAGGAUUGUCGAAUUGCCUUCUGUUAUCUGUGAUGAGGACUUUUGGUAUUCCAAACCUGCAUAUGACGGACUUCCAUAUGAAUGACCUGAGCUUCGGCUCCGAAAUUGUUGCUAGUGGUUUGGCUUCUACCCACUUUGUGAAAUACUCCACUGCCACAGCUACAAAUUUUAAUUGUCCUCGGGCCAAGGGGAAUAGCCCGAGAUUAUCAAUUCCCCACUGUUUGAAAGGAGCUGAGUAGUGAAUGGAUGUUAGUUCCUUAGCAGGAACAUGUAUGAUGUGGCCAAACUUUUGGCACUUGUCGCACUUCCGGACGUAAUCUAUGGCAUCUUUCUUCAAACUUGGCCAGUAGUAUCCAUACUUUAUCAACUUAUAUGUAAGAGCUCGGGCUCUCUGGUGAUUUCCACAAAUGCCUUCAUGAACUUCAGUCAUUGUUUGAAGAGACUCGGAAGGUUUAAGACAUCUUAGAUAGGAAAGCGUGAAGCUCCUAUGGAACAGGACCUCUUCGAUUAUACAAUAUCUAGCAGCUCUAUACCGAAUGCUUCUGGCAAGCCGAGGGUUUGCAGGUAUGUUGCCAUUACUUAUGUAAUCAACUAUUAGAUCCAUCCAGGAGGGCUCAUGGUCGAUGUCCAUGACACUUGGCUUUUGAGCUAUGCUGGUUCUGCAACCAUCUUGAUGUGCACGGUUCUAUUGAGCCCGUCCACACCCAUGAAGACGAGUCUGGAUAAUGCAUCAGCUUUGGCAUUUUCGGCUUUGGCUACCUUCAGAAUUUCACAACUUAAGAACUGUCUUUGGAGGUCAUGUACUUUUAAACAGUAUAAGCUCAUCUUUUUGUCCUUCCUUUCGAAAGACCCCUCAAUUUGCCCGACAACUAGUUGUAAGUCACUGAAAACUUUGACACGCUCACACUCAAGAUUUUUCACGAGUUCCAGGGCUAUGACAACGGUUUCAUACUCUGCUUCGUUAUUGGUAGCCUCGAAUUCAAAUCUGAGAGCACACUGUAUCUCCAUAGUCUUGUCCGGACUUGUGAUGAUGAUGCCGACCCCCGAGCCCGAGCUAUUGGAUGCUCCAUCAACAAAAAUCUCCCAUGUUUCCAAGGUCGUGCUCGAGCCCUUGUCCAGUGUUUCUGAGGAUCUUGGAGUAAGCUCUGCUAUGAAGUCGGACAGAGCUUGAGCCAUGAUUGCAGGUCGUGGCUUGAACUCUAUGUCAAAUUCACUGAGUUCAAUUGCCCAUUUCAGCAGUCUUUCUGAGACGUCUAGCUUCUGGAGUAUGUGUCUAAGAGGUUGGUUAGGGAGCACAACAAUUGGAUGUGACCGAAAUUACGGCCGUAAUUUGCUGGCAGCUAUUACUAAAGCAAAGGUGAGCUGUUCUGCAAGCGCGUGUCGUGUUUUUGCAUCGAGGAGCACUUUACUUACAUAGUGAACAGGUUGCUGAACUCUUCCUUUUUCCUUUUCCAAGACACUACUUACUGCAUUCUCAGAAACGACCAAAUAUAAUAGCAGCGUGUCACUGGGUUCGGGUUUUGUAAGGACUGGAGGCGUUGAUAAUGUCUGCUUGAGCUCCUGAAAAGCUAAGUUGCAUUCCUCGUUCCAGUUGAACCCUUUAUUUCCCCUAAGUAAUUUGAAAAAGGAGGAACACCUGUCCGCUACUCGGGAAACAAACCUGUUCAGUUCUGCUAUGCGACCUAUCAACUUCUGAAUGUCCCUUUUGCACUUAAAGGCCUCCAUACUUAUCAGAGCUUGGAUUUUAUCAGGAUUUGCCUCUAUUCCUCUGUGCAUGAUCAUAAAACCCAAGAAUUUUUCAGAUGCCACCCCGAACGCACACUUUGCAGGAUUAAGCUUCAUGUUGUACCUCCGUAACGUAGAAAACACUUCCUCUAGAUCAGAAACAUGACUAUUCAACUGUUUGCUCUUAACUACCAUAUCAUCCACAUAUGCUUCGAUCGUUUUCCCAAUUAACUUGGCAAAGAUCUUGUUUACCAGCCUUUGAUAUGUUGCUCCAGCAUUUUUCAGUCCAAAGGGCAUGACCCUAUAGCACUAGAUGGCUGAGUCUGCCAUGAAUGAGGUCUUCUCUUGAUCUUCUUCCGCCAUGAGAAUUUGGUGAUACCCCGAGAAAGCAUCCAAGAAGCUGUACAACAUAUGACCCAACGUGCAGUCUACCAGAUUGUCAAUUCGAGGUAGAGGAUAACUAUCUUUGGGGCAUGCUUUAUUCAGAUCUGUGAAGUCAAUGCAAACUCGCCACUUUCUAUUAGCCUUUUUGACAAGAACUACGUUAGCAAGCCACUCGGGAUAUUGUACUUCUCUAAUGAACUAUGCAUUAACAAGUUUAGCAAUCUCCUCCUUCAUGACUUCUCGUCUUUUUGGUGCAAACUACCUCUUCCUUUGCUUCACGGGUCUUGCUUCUGGGUUUACGUUAAGUCUAUGUAUUGCAGCCUCUGGAUCAAUUCCAGGCAUGUCCUCAACAUUCCAAGCGAAUACAUCAAUGUUGCGGGAGAGACAACUUAGUAGUUCAGACAUGACCGCUGUAUCUAGCCCCGAUCAAUCGUCAAUUUCCUUCUAGGCUCGAUCUCGACCUCUUCCAAUCCUUCCACCGGAGCAAGUCUCCCGUGAUUUUCAUGUUCGAUCUUGAGCUCUGUAACUUGCAUGAUGUCGUUCUUGAUUUUUCGAACUCUAGUCAUUUGUGCAAUCUAGUCAAGCAUGUGUUUAGAAGAAUUUGUAGGAGUUAGUCUAUACGUACAGGAAAUGAAUCCAAAACUGUAAUAGGAAUUUGAAUUUGGUGACCUGGCAGACCACUUUCCAACAAAUUGGACCAAAAUCGGGCUAUGAACAAAAUUGGUUUCACCUAAAAAAAUCCGUGUUAAAAAUAAAAUAGAAUGGUUCAUUUCCCCCAAUUUUCCCCCAAAUCAGUCUCUCUAUCUCUAAUGGUUCAUUUUCCCUAAAUUUCCCAUUUCCCCAAAUCACAGUCUCUCCGUCUUUUGCCAUAAGCUCCCACCCUAAGCAAAUCCGACAGCCGCGUCAUUUUCACUAUCGGUUGGCACAAAUGAAGAGCAUACAUCGCAACGUUUCUUUCCCGUUGUUUUGGCAAAUGCAAAUAUCUCCCACAUGCGAUUUCAGGUCCUCCUUUCACAGUUAUUGUUACGAGUUCAGAAGGUUCGUUUUCUUCAUCCGUAACAUAUAUUUGCUACCUUCAUUUCGAAGGUUUAUUUUAAUUUUUUUUAAUUCCAAAUUUUUAGGAUUUGAAUGGAACAUUAUAAGUUUGAUGUUCAUAUAUGCAAAUGUGUUUGAUCAUAUUUUUGUGGGUUUCUUUUUGUUUCAUUUCUUUGAAUUUGGGGGAAAAAUAAGAAAAAAAAUUUAAUUCUUAGUUUUCUGCUAUGUCUGAAUAAGAAAAAUAAUUAAUUCUUAGCCGGGAUAUAGAACCUUGAUUUAAAGUUGGUUAUGAUUUCUUCAUUAUGUAGUUCAAUUUUGAUAGAGCGUGACUAAGCCAUUUAUCUGUAUUUGAACAAAAGUUGCAAUGUGGGAGUUUGUAAUUCAAUUGCAUUCAUGUUUUUUAGGCAUGAAGUUCAAGCAAUGAUGAUGAAGAGAUGACCCAUGCUACAGCAAGUGCAAAAACAAAGAGUCAAUUGGAAAAUGGCUAGUGUUUUCCUUUGUACGAAGAUAUUUGAUAAUUAGUAUUUCUAUUUUAGCUUCUGCUAAGGUGUCUUGAUGUGUUGUAAGGAAUGUGCAGCCAGUUGCUUAUCGGGAAUUUGUUAUUUCAUUUCGUGUAUAGAUGUUGCUCAUUUGUACUCAAUUAACACAACUUGGAAUGAGAUGGCAGAUAAAAUAUUCAGUACUUCUUCUUCCUCUUUUACAUUUCAUUCAUUCAUUCAUUACAUUUCUGCCAAAUCACAUUUCCUUUCACAUGUGGUUUUAUUUGUUUCUUCAUCAGUUUCCAAUUAGAAUGAGAGGAUGGAACUUCGGAGUUUGUCACGGUUGUAGAAGUAACACUCACUUCUUUGGACAAUGCCGAGAAACGAGACGUCGAUAUAUCAUUGUACAUAACAUUCCGCAAGGGAAAAGGAAUUGCCAAAUGUGAUGGGAAAGGAAAUGGACCGACUUGAACGAGUGAUAUGAGUUACGUUUGUGGUGGAAGUGGUAGAAAGAGUACUAUGAUGUCAAUUUGUAUUUGUUAUAUAGUUUAUUAUAACAUAAGUUUACUAUUUUGCGAAUCAUUGUAAUAUAUUAACAUUAUGGACAUAUUUUUCUAUUACUUUGACAUAUCUUGUUCUAGUUUACAUCUACAUCUAUCUACUUUCAGUUUUUUAUAGUCCAAGGACUGGUCAUUCUAUCAGAUAAAUCCUUUUCGCCUUUAAUAAUUUGUCAUUCCUUCUCCUUGCCCUCCUCUAUGCAUCGAAGUUAGCUUAAAAAUAAUAACUUUGAGGGGAUGUGAUUCCCGACUCUUAUGGAAACAUGUCCAACCUCGUUUGUAAGUCCUUUUUCUUCAUUUCUUUUUUCUCAUCAACUUGACACAUGUCAUAAAAUUUGACUCUAUUUUAGACCUGAAACUUUGUCCAUCAUGUAUUUACUUGUUUGUGGAAUGAAGAGAUGAUAAUAUAUUUGCAUUCAUAAAAUAGUAAUUCAUUUUCAUUCAAGCAGGAAUCUUAAGGAAUUGUAAUUUGCAAGGAAAAUCAGUCCCAAUGUGACUUGAUAUCAAUGCAAGUCUUGUAUUGACGAUGAAAAAAUAAACCUGACCUACUCUGUUCUUGAAUAUAAUUGUUCUCUUCCCGUUACAAAGAUCUUAUAAAAAAUCAACUUACUAGAAACAUACCACUAAAUAGACUUUCUGAAAAUAUCACAACCAUGUAAUGUUGAGAUCUGAUACCAAAUUGUUAAAUUUGAACUCAAAAAGAAAUGUAACUUUAUUGAUGAAAUGGAAUUUAUACAAUUUUGGACACACACCAUACUAAAGGCUCAAGCAACUUAGCCUACCACAAAAUUCACUCAUGCAGCACCUUGUAUCUAUACUUCCUCCACUAAUUCACUCCACUAACACUCUCUCUCCCCUAAGCACACAUAUAUUACAUAUACACAGCCUGUCUAUAACUCCGCUUCUCUCUUUGUAUCCCUGAAUUCUAGCUCUUCUUCUUACUCUCUUCUCACACGCCAGCCUAUGUUUAUAGGUGAUAUAGUCGGUGGCAAUUCCUUCUAGCUUCUUCCAGUACGGUGGUGGCAAGAUAAGGCAACAAGCUUCUGGAUAAUUCUUCUUGUGGCGGUGGAGAUAAAUUUUAUAGAGAUUAUAGAUUAUACUCUAAUGUUGGCAGCUAAGCUUGAGGAAGAUUUUGGAAAGUCGGUGAUGUUUUAUCCAUGUAAGUAACAUUUUGUAUACUGCCAUUAUGAGAUAUUAUAGCACUUAGUCCUAAUACAUGACAAUUUUCUAGUCUUUUGCCGGCUAGUGGCCGAAGAUGGAGAACCGACAGAGGAGAGAGACUGAUUUGGGAGAAAUGAACAUUUUUAUUUAGGUGAAACCGAUUUUGCUCAUAGCUCGAUUUUGGUCUAAUUUGUUGGAAAGUGAUCUGACAUGUCACCAAAUACAAAUUCUUGUAACAGUUCUGUAUUUUAUUUCUUGUAAGUAUAGAUGAACUCAAUUUGUAGAGAAAUUCAUGUCGUUAUACAGUGCACUGUGCUGUAAUUAUUGACUGAAGUAAGUGGAAUGAUCUUUUUCCCACUUUACUAGGGUUGGCGAAAACUUCUUAACUGAAUUGAAUCGAACUGAGCGAUUCUUCUUAAGUUAAAUACCCGAAUUGAAUCGAGAAAUGAUUGGUUCGAUUCGAUUCUCGAUUUUAGAUCAAUAAUCGAAUAAGAAUUGAAUUUUCCUAAUUUUUAAAUUUAUUUAUUUUAAAUAAGCAAAAUUAUUUUAUUUUUUAAAAUAAAUUUGAUAAUUAGUUAAUUUAACUCAAUCCCAAAAAUAUGAUUUUCCUAUUUUUAAUUUUCAAUUCAAGCAUAAUUUAAUUAAAUUAUCUAAAUUUUAUCAAAAUCUAUUAUUCUACCGUUUUAAAGAAAUUGAAUUGAAGUUUGACAGCGCUGCUCUUAAUUAUUGUGAGCUCGCUAUUUUCAUCUUACUGUGAUUUUAACAAUAACAAAUAUGAAGAACUCGACAAAGAGAUGUACAAAAAAUAUAUGAGAUUGAACUGUGUUAUUUUAUAAGAGUUAAGAUUGAAUAUCAUUAGUAGAAUUAAUGUACCUUUAUAAAUAUUAAAAAAAAUUAUAGUACAGAACUUGGGAACUGAAUGGAAUCGAACUGAAUCGAAUGAAACCAAACCAAAACGGUUCCAUAAUUAAAUUUGGACGAUGGUUCUACUUAUGAAAUACCCUAAAAUUCGAGUCCGAUUCAGUUCUAAUGAGUCGGUUCGAUUCUCAUUAAAAUCGAACCGAAUCGAACCAUGCACAACCCUACACUUUACCAUUUAACUCACUCCUCCUUAGAAAAUGACAUUUUUGGAAAUAAACGCAUUUGGAGUCAAUAAUUACUGCAACAAAUGAGAUCCACCUGCCUUUACAAUGGUCAAAAAGUGGAUUAAAAUCUGGACUAAAUGACACGCUAAAUGUAUUUUUGACACUUGAUUUUGGGACUUCUGCUAUUUAUUCCUCAAUUUAUUAUAAAAACUUCAAUUCAAUCUAUGAGAAGGGCUACUACAAGACAUUAAAGGUAUUAUGCCCCGUUUGGUUAUGAUUUUUCAAGCCAAAAAAUUAAUUUUUGACCUUUACUUAAUAUGGUUAGCCGUCAUUUUGACUUCUUCAUCCAUAGGUGGGGCCAACUUUUCUUUAUAACGGUAAAAAAAUUAAUUCUAAAAAUCAGUAUCAAACAGGCCCAUAUAUCUUGCAAGUCUUUAUUUUAGCUUUUUGCAGUUCAAAUGUUCUUUUAAUAGAAAUGGAAUGCAAAAACCCUAGACAUACAAAUGUACAAUGAUGCGGUAAAAAAAUUGGCGUCACUACCUUUUCUUGGUUUUUAUCAAAUAGAGAAGCAUGCAAAUAAUAUCUUUUCUUUGCACCCAAAAUUGAGAAGCAUCCCAAAAUUGUUUUAUACCAAGAUUCGCAAAAGGGACAAAAGCCACAAAAUGCCAUUCUUUAUGCACCAUUAUGUGACCAUGAAAGUCCCAUGACCAUGCUCCUUCCUUCCUUCCCUUUCCCUAAUGCGCCUAUGUCAGCAAGUCUAUGAGAUCUAAUCUCAUGUUGUUCAAUAGUAGCUCAGUGAUAGAAAUGAUAGGCUAUUAAUCGAUUGGACAUAAGUUCGAAUCUUAUUUUUGAUUAUUCUAAAUUAAAGAAUUCAAAAUAAAGGAACCCAAUUUGACCUAAGAUUUGAAAAUUAUCUACAAUAUCUCCGCAUAGGCCUAGGAUAAUCCUUUAAUUCAUAAUGGAGCCACUUACAACUAGACAUGGAUACACACUUGUAGACAGGAUGGUCAAUGAUAACUAACUUGCCCAUGAACUGGAAUUCGCAUUUUCAUUGAUUACUCUAUCCAUGUCUUAUCGAUGAUAGGCAACACAAGAAAGUACAAUAUGAGCAAUACCGCAGAAGCGGCAAAUCAUGCACGAUGAAAUAAACACACGUAAACAUAGACGACAACAAUCAAAACGAAUAUUCAUUCAUACCAGGAACCUAUCUCAGAUGUAACAAAACAAAAUAUUUCAUAACAUUUCCUUGUUUCUCCAUCAUCCACAACAUUCUUAUGAAAAUAUAUCACUGUGUUACCAUGUUAAUAGCAACAAAUGGAAACCGCAUCAAUUUGCUUCAACAGCUCCUCCGGUCAAAACCACAGGCUCGGUUUUAUCAACGCUAAAUGCCUUCGCGAUCUUCUCUGUUGGGACCAACGGUAGAUAUGAUGCAACCUUGUACCCUUUCUCAGCUGAAAGUUGAACAGACUGGUUGUACUUCUCAGUAUAAUAACUGGCUGUUGGAACGACUACUUUGGUCACCUGAGGGAAGAGCGGGAGCCGAUUGAGAGAGCACCAGGUUGAAACUGCUAAAUGCUCAGCUACUGUCAUAACUGAGCGAGCCGCAACCGGAGCCUUCUGAGCAGUCGAGAAGGCUUGGGUAGACAUCUGCUUUAGAACUGCAGGGACAUGACUCUGUACCAUGUUCAUCGACUCAUCUACCUACAAACAUAAUUGCUAAUCUCUUAAAUUCUCAUUAACAAUGGUGCGGGCCGAAAAUUAUUCAUCUGUCUCAUCUGCAAAUGUUAUUGCAGUCAUUUUUAACAUCUCUCAAUGAAUUCAGAAUGAUUUGAAUGCAGAGAAAAAUAAAUUCUUUAAUAGCCAUUCCAGCAGCAUUCAAUCCCGUGAAUGAGUGGAUUCUUCCUUGAUUACAAUAAUCUAAAAGAAAUUCCAGCACUCAAAUUAUCUAAAUAUACGUAAAUUCUCGAGAAUCAUACAAGAACUUUGACUUUAAUAGUCGAAUCGCUCCCUUCAAACCAUUUAAACAGUCUGAUUUUUAUUUUUCUUAACGAAAUGUCAUAAAUUUACCAUUUAAACAGUCUGGUUAAUCUCUACAUGUAAAGACAAGGGUUAGCCCCAUUAAGGUUCAAAUCCUAAUGCAAAUGGUUCAUUUACAGGCAAAAUUACAGUUAUGAAAAUUCUAUAAAAUAAUUAAAAAUAGAAUUAGAAAAUUACCUUGCGAUCGACAAAUUUGAGAAAUUCGACGGGAACGCCGUGGUAUCUGUCAUAGACGGGUCCCACGACGGUCUUGACGGUGCCCUCGACGGUCUGAAUUCCGGGCUUCAGAGGCCCUGAUUUGUCCUUGGUGUAAUUGUAGACUUUCGCAGCAAAAAUCACCGCAUCGAACGCCGCAACUUGCACGAAUUCCAAACGCUUCAUCCUCUGCUCUUUGGUCUCAUCCAUCUUAUCGGAAAAAUCAUCCAAAACGCUACCUCGAUACAAAUCAUAAAAUUGCCAGCAAAUAAACAAGAAAUGAAAGAUUGGGAGGGGUCGAAUUCUUACAACUUCUGGUUGAGAUUUGGGGUUUGUUUCUGCCAUUACCACAAAAUUAGGAGUUCUAAUAUUUGAAAUUGAAUUGAUUCAAGUAAUCUAAUGCAAGAAAUGUAUAAUAUAUAUAAAUACUGAAAAGGGACGCUAUAAACGGCACGUUAUUCCAGAAGACAGACGGUGAGGUGAGAAAGCGCGUUGCUGAUGAAUCUACGUUGAAACUUCGAGUUCUGAAUCUACGUUGAAACUUCGAGUUCUUUGUGUUUCACUUUCCUCCUCCUCCUCCUUUUUUAUUUUUUUUAAUUUUUUUUUUAAUUAUUAUUUUUUUCCUCCUUGAUAUUUAGGUAUCACAACUUACACCAAACUAAAUCCUGGACCUCCAAGAUCCAUGUCCCUAGAAGUGUUUCACUUUCUUUGUUUAGAUAUUCGUUUGUCCUUAUUUGGAGGCCAUGAAUAGUAAUUUUUAUAAGAACGUAUGAUUAAAAAAUAAGAAAAAUUUAGAAUUUAUAUACAUAAUAUUUUAUUGUAUGAAUGUGUGAUUAAAAAUGAUUAUAUAUAAAAAAAAUUAAAAUAAUAAUAGUCAAUCAGGGACUUUGUAACGAAUUAGGGAGCAUUAUUAUUGGUUCUAUAGAAAAUUUUUGUUCAAAAGUCUUGUUAAUCAUUUUCUUUUCGGGGUUAAAAGGCCUCCGUUUAAUUACAUUAAUAUUUAUUCAUUAUCACACUUAUUUUCUUAACAUUUUUCUUCAUCGCAUUCUUAUUUUCAUUAUAAAAAAAAUAUUGUCAUUAAUAAUUAUUUUUAUUCAAAAAUCUUGUUAUGUUUUAAAUGGAUGCCAAAUAUUUAAUUGGAUUUUUGCAUUAUUCUUUGUUUCGUUUAUUUAAAAAUACAAUGGACAAAUGAGUUUUUUACUCUAUCUUGAAAAAAAUUUGAAGGAAAAUCGUAAUAAAGAGCAAUUCGCAUUCCUUUGACAAUAAGAAUGUGACGAAAAAAAUUGAGACAUAAAUGUGACUAUAUAUAAAGAUUGUGAAUCUUUUAUGCAAUCAAAAUAUAUUCUAUUUAUUAGUGUGAAUAUAUUUAGCAGUAUAUAUAUUAAAAGUCAUAAUUACCUUUUACUUGAAAUGACCAAAAUUACCUUCUUUUUCUUAUAAUUUCUUUGUACUAUCCGUCAAGAUUGAUUACAUAAGUGGUUUCUCUUGAAAAUAAAAUAAAAUAAAAACUUAUUUGGGUAUGUAAUGUUAGUUUUCUAUUAAUUUGUCUUUAAAAAACACGUUACUUUUUGUCUAAAUAUAAUAGGAAUGUUGUGAAAUUGGUGAAAAUUGCACCAUUUCUUUUUAAAAUGGAUAUUGUAAACAGGAUCCCGAUUUCAUUCCAAAUAUUCUCAAUUGGUUAACAUUUAAAAAUAUUAACAAGAGCUAAGAUCUUGUGUUUUACUAUCUUAUAUUGACAAAUUCAAUUAAUCUCACUGGUUGUGUAAGAAUACUCAAUCUUGUGUCACUCUAUGACCUCUAAGUAACAACUUUGGACAUAUCACGAUUUUAAAUGUAGUAGGAAUAUAUUUUGACAAAUUAUAUCAGUGGAUACAAAGACAAAUGGACGAGAAAUUGGAAAAAAAAAUAUUUAUCUUCUUAUUUAGAAUGAGUGAGUGUCCUUUUUGUGUACGAGUCUCGAUUUCAUUCCAAAUAUUAUCGAUUAUCUUUGAAAAUAUUUAUAAUAAUUAAAAAGAGUUAGAUAUAGUAUUUCACUAUCUUGAAUUGAUGUAUUUAAUAGAAUUUGAGGCAACGAAUCAAUAAAAUUUGUGGCAAUAAAUUGACAAAUUUAAUAGAAUUUGAGUCGACUACGUUUUAGAAUUCAGAUAAAUGGCAUUUACCAUUUUGAAACAAUAGGAUGCUGUUUUCACCAAUUUCAUGUCCUUUUGUAUUUAUGUCCUCUCAUAUUGCCUCAGAGUUGAUGAAAAUACAUUUGUAUUACAUUAGGACACCAUUCUCGAUCAAAAGUCGUCACUUAAGAGUUUUAUACAAUGACACGCGACUUAGUAUCCUUAUACUAGCAAAGGAGUUACCUCAAGUUCUAUUAAAAUCGUCAAGACAAGAUAAUGAAACACAAGAUCUCAUCUCUCUCUCUCUCGUUUUUGCUAAGUGUGUAAAAGUGCACAAAAACAUGAAAUUGGAGAUUGAAAUUGAGAAGAGCUGAUAGUUGAAGGACCCUGGGUGCAAAUUAUAGAGGGUAUGGUUGAAAUAAAAGUUAAAAUUCAAGGUUCAUAAUGUAUAGAAUCAAAGUUUAGGACUUGGUGUACAAUUUUUGGAAGAUUUAAGUUGCAAAGUGGAGGUGGCAAAGGUUCACGAGUUCCUACGGGCUACCUGGCACUAUCAUAUAAAAAAUCACUUUUACUUUUUCAUAUUUUUAAAAUAAUAAAUCAUAAAAAGAAACUAAACACUUUCUAAUUGUUUUCAAUCAAAUUGAAGUUAAGAAUAAUUUAACUAACGGCUAGAUAAUCAUUCUCGUGGGAACGAUAUCUAAACUCUUAUGCGCACUUUGUUACUUGUUUGAUCUGUAUACUUACGAAAUAUAAAAUCAAUAUCAAUUACUUAGAAUAAGCUUAAAUAUUGAAGCACUCAAUUUUGAGGAGAAUAAUGGCAUGUCUAGAUUGUUGAAAUUGCCGUUUAGACCCAAUCAAAUCAAAUUGGUAAAAGAUAUAAGUGAUUUGAAAGCAUCAUAUAGAUGAACAUCUUGAGAAAGAAAAGAGUUGUAUUUAUGUGUGAUGCGAAUUUCACAAUUCAGAAAGGAAAGAAAUGACCGUUAAGGGUUGAUUGGCAGCAAUUUUUUUUUUUUUUUUUGUCUUUACAACUUUUUCGAGUUUAGAUAAUAAUUGAACGUGACUAUGUGCACACACCAAUCAAACAUUGGAUAAACUCAAUUUGUUUUUGAUAACAUUAUUUGGAGACAUUCGUGAAUUGAUUGUACAAUUUUACGCAUGAAUAUUUUUGACAAGUUAUAUAAUAUUGUUGAUCUUUAUCACAUAUUGCUAGAUUGUGCUAGUAAUAAUCUUGCUCGGGACAAGCAAAAAUUUAAGUUUGGGAGUGUUUGAUAAGUGUGUUUUAAUAUACUUAUUGGAUGCCUAAAUAAGCUUAAUAUGGAUUAAAUGAGCAAAAUUCUAUUCAUAAUUGUUUAAUUAUUGCUUUUAUAGAUUAAGAUUCUAAAUUGGAAGAGAACUAUGCAAAAGGAAGAGAAAAGAGACUAAAAGUGCACAAUAAAUGAAUUUGGGGACCAAAGUGGAUAAGACCUGGAAGUUGAAUGACCUUGAAUAAAAAUUACAAAAGGGUGUGAUUGAAACAAAAGUCAAAAUCCAAGGAUCAAACUGUACAAGACAAAAGUUAAGGGACAUGACGUGUAAUUUUUGGAGGAUUCGAGCUGCAAAAUGAGGGUGGCGAAGGUUCCGUGCGUCUUGGGGCAUCCUGGUUGCCGUAGCCCAAAGGCAUUGUCGGGCUACCUAACACGUGCACGCCGUGUAUUUGGGGGCAGAAUUUUCUUUCCCCAUUUUUGCAACUUCUGAUAUGUUUGGGAAUUUUUAGACUUUUUAGGGCUCGUUUUAAGUAAUUUAAAUAGCAAAAUUUCAGUCAUUAGUCCCGUUCUUCAUUCACUUAAUUUUUCACUCUAAUUUUGGAGGAAAAUGGGACAAGAACCAAGGGCACAAAGGAGGAGAGAAAAAAUUAAGAAAGUAGAGAGAUUUUGGGGGAAAAUUAAUACCAAGCCUUGUUACCUACAAGAAUCUAACCAAAAGAUGCGUUUCAUCUUUAGUAUUGUUUUUCUUUCAUCAUUUUUCUCUAAUUCGUGAUGUAUUUAUAUAAAUCUUCUCUUUUUUAUCAUUUAUACAAAAUGAGCUAGAUUCUUUAUGUUGGAAUUUAUGAUAUAGCGUAACCUAACUUUAUUAAUUUUAAUAUUUACGCUUUAAUGUUAAAGUACUUGUUUUUAUGUGUGUUUAUUAUUUUACUUCAUGCUAUUUAUUUGUUUGAUCAAUAAAUGAUUAAAUUGAGUGAUUGGUGCAAUAUUUAAGAGAAUAUCGUGCAUUUUAGAUCAUGCUGUAAACCCUAUGUUCUUGUAGGAGAUAGAGAUAUAUUUUUAACCUUAGGUGGUCCAUUGAGCUACUUUCACAAAGAGUUUAUACAAUUGAUUGCGUUUUAAUCAACAUAGAGAUAUAUUAAGUUAAACCAAUUGAUUAAGGCUAAUUUCACAUGAUAGAAGUAAUUAGUUAAAAUAGAUAAAUCGGAUCUAACAUGCUUAAUGAUUAAUUUGAUAAUUUACGUGUGGAGAAAUUAAUUAAGUGUCUGUUAAGUGAAAUCAUAAAUUCCAACUACUUUAUCCUUCUAAUUUUUCUUAAUUUUAAAAUUCACCCUUUCUAUUAUUUUUGUAGAGUUUUGGAUUAAUUUCUUUAUUUCAAAAACAACAAUUUUAUUGUGUGUUUCUUAUUAUAAUUAAAUUAACUUCUGUAUAAUCAAGUAAACAUUCCUCAUGGGAUCAACAAUUGCACUCUUUAGUCUACUUUAUUACUUGUACGCGACUUGUAUACUUGCAAUACAUACUAUUUAACAAAUAGUUUUCGAAGAUAAUCGAGGAUGUUUGUAGUGAAAUCAAGACUCCAUACAUAGAAAUGUCUCUUACCAAUUUUAAACGAUAGGUGCCAUUUUCAACCAUAUGCUAAAUUUGUUAAAAAUUUACCAACAUGUAUUCAGUUUCCAUGGAGCAAGAAGUGGUGAUACAAUUUUUUUCCCUUCUACAAAGAGUUGAUUCAAUGUCUACUCUGUGGUGAAAAUACAACUGAAUCUUCACAUUUGCAUUACUUUCUAAAGUCAAAUUGAUUGGUCUUGCUAAUUUUUCUUACUCCAUUAACAUUGUUUGUUGGGAUUAUAUUUCCAAGUAAGAGGAAAGUAGAAUAAACAAAAUAAUAGAAUCAAGAACUUUAAAGAUAAUAAUGCUUAAACAUGUAAUCAUUGUCCUCAAAUAAUAUUUGUCUCUUGUCAAAUUGAAUUUGAUGCUUAAAGGGACUCUUGGCAAAUGGUUUGCAGGAUUUAUCAAGUCUUAAAAAGAAAUAAACACUUAAGCACUAGCGAAAUUCCUAUAAAACUCAAGAACACAAAAGUAGAAUUUUGAAUAUGAAAGAACAGAGCUUUUAAUCUUUCCUCAUGGAAUGAAAUUUGAUCUCAAGCGGUUUUAAUGUGUUUUGUAUUGAUCAUUAACCAUCUAUUUAUAUAUCUUAAUAAAUACUAUACGAAAUGGUGCCAAAAUAUGAUGAAAAGAGACAAUUUUUAAUUUAAAAAGACACCAGGUUCCAAGUUAAAAAACUAGCCAACGUUUUGUUUUUAACCCUAUACAUACGCAUAGUAUGAACUAUAUGUAUGUAUAGUAGAAGCAUUUUUGCUUUUGUUCCAACAAAUAUGAACCAUGCAUAAGCAUGGCGAAAUGGCCCAUGCGUAAGCAUGGGAAAAUAAUUCCCAUUUCUCAUUUUAUCAAUUCCAUUGUUUCCAUUGAAGGCCCAAUAAAUAGCCCACUUAAUUAUUUGAUUUUGACAAAUAUUCAAGAAUCCCUCAUUUGUUCAAAAUAUGUAUCGAUCAUGCAUUCUAAAUGACAAGACUUAUGCACAAGGACUAGACAUCUUUCUAUUUGAAUCUAACCAUAGUGUUAUUGAAACAAAGUAAAGUCGAAAUUAAAGAUAACAUUAAAGCUUUGAACCAACUAUUUUAUGUAACAAUACCGGUAAAAACACACAGAAGUAUAAAGUGUUCUCAAGUUCCUUAACUCGCUUAAUGCUAAUAUGACCUUGCGCUCGUCCUUUUCAACAAACUUUUAGGAGAGAAACUCUAACUCUUAUUUAGGCGACACCACUUGAAGUUUAGCUAGGUGAAGUUCUUCCAGCAUAUUUGUUAUUUUUAGAGAUACUAGUACUCAGUACUGACUUUAUUAAGAGCUUUAAACUCAACAUUCGUUGAAUAAUAACCAGCAUUUUAUAAUUAAAUAGGGUUAUAAUGGAUUUUAUAAUGUUGAAACUAUCCUCAUAUUGAAUGACUUGUUGUUAUCUCUUGAACCCGUAGAUUACUUGUUAAAUAAUGAUAGAUAAGGUUGCCAUCACUGGUGAAUUUUUUAGUUUAAAAGUUUCAACACCAUUCCACUCGAAGUUGAUAUUACUAAAUUUCUAUUUAGAGGUUUAGUUAAAUAAUCCGCUAAGUUUUUUAUUGGAUUAAUAUAAUUUAGGGAAAUUAUUCUACUCUUGAUUAUUUUCCUUACGUAAACAUGUCUUAAACUCACAUGUCUAGAUUUUCCUUUUUAUACCUUGUUGUAGGCUUUUGCUAAUGUGGCUUGAUUAUCACACAUGAUAGACAUCGAAGAUGUAUUCUUAGUCCCAAAGGUAUCUUGUAAAGUAGACUCUUAAGCCAUUCAAUUUCUUUUCUAGUAUCUAAUAGUGCUAAAAAUUCAGACUCAUAGUUGAGUGUUUUAAACACGUCAGUUUCUUUGAUUUCCAAGAAAUAGCACUCUUUCCUAGAGUAAACACUCAUCCUGAAUUAAAUUUACUAUCACUUGUAUUAGAUAUCCAACUAGCAUCGGUAAAUCAUUCUAAUAUAGCCGAAAAAUUUAGUAUAUUAUAGAUUAAGUUCUUGGUUUUCUUUAAAUAUCAAAAACUCUUCCAAUGGCCUUCCAAUCUUCCUUGCUUGCAUUACUAGUAAACCUACUAAGUUUACUAAUUGCAAAUGCUAUAUCCUAUCUUUUGCAUUGAACUGUAUACAUUAGACUUCUUAUAGGACUCGAGCAAUUUCUCUUCCAUCAUUUUUAUAAGUUUUAAACUUAGAUCAGGAAGGGUACUAAAUUACUUUAUGUUCAAAUGUUUGAACUUAUUAAUCACAUUCUCAAUAAAAUUGAUUUACUCAAGAAAAAACACCACUAGUUUUUGUAACUUUGAUACCUAAUAUGGUAUUCACUUGUUCAAGGUCUUUCAUCUUGAACGUGGAUUAUAGAAACUUCUUCGUUUCUUUGAUUCCAUUCAUGUGAUUACUCAUAAUCAACAUGUCAUCAACAUACAAGCAAAUAAGGGUUAUAUAUUCAUCACACAAUUUAGAAUAUAAGCAGUUAUUUAUACUAUUAUUUAUGAAGCCAAAGAAAUUAAUAGCUAAGUUAAAUUCCUCAUGCAAUUUUCUUAAGGCUUGCUUUAAGCUAUAUAAUGAUUUUACUAACUUGAAUAAUUUAUGCUCGUUUCUUCAUAGUGCAAACCCUUCAUGUUGUUCCAUAUAAACAUCCUCAUUGAGAUCCCCAUUUAAGAUGCCAUUUUGACGUCCAUUUGAUGUACAUGCAAAUCAUGCAUAGAAGCUAAUGCUAAUAAUAUCAUAAUCGAUGUUAUUCUAGUUACCAGUGCAUAAGUAUUAAAAUAAUCUAUUCCUUCUAUUUGUUGAUGACCUUUACCUACUAGUCUAGCUUUAAAAGUAUAAGAGAACUAUCAACAUUAUAUUAUCUCCUAAACAUCCAUUUACAUCCAAUAGAUUUGGAUCCGAGUGGUAAAUCGACAAGUUCCCAUGUUUUGUAUGACAUAAUUGAAUCCAUUUCACUUGUAGAACAAAAUGAAUUGCUUUUAUAACAUUCUUCUAAUUUUCCUCUGCUAAUUAAAAGGAAAUAAGUUGAGAGUUUAUUUCAUCCGGUCCUAAAAACUGCUCAAUUCCAGUUUUUUUGCUUUUUUGAGGUUCACUAAAUUCAUAAAUAUCUUUAGAAGAUGUUUCAUCUUGUGUUCUACUAGUGGUUGGGAUCUCUUUAUGAGUUUUCCUUCAUUCAUUAUCCAAAGAUAAUGAAUUUUCAAAGAACUCAACAUCAUUAGAUUCAAUUAUCACAUUGGUUUCCAAAUUUAAUAAUCUAUAUGAUAUGCUAUAUUAACAUAACCAACAAAGGCAUAUUUGAUGCCUCUUGGAUGGGCUUGGUCCUAUUAGGGUUGUGUUCUUAUGAUAUACAAGACAUUCCCACAUUUUGAAGUAUAUAAUAUUUGAUUUUCUUCCUUUCCACAAUUCAUAAGAAGAAACCUUUGUAAAUUUAAAAGGAACCCUAUUUAAUAUUCUACAUGCAACUUCACCCCAUAAAUUAAAUGACAAUUUAGUAUAAGUUAACAUGACAUUUAUCAUUUCAACUAAUGUUUUAUUUUUUUUCUUUCAGCCAAACUAUUUUGUUGGACUAGGUGCAUAACAUUGAUGUACUAUACCUUAUUGUGUUCACAAAAUGAAUUAAAAUCACUAGAAAAAUAUUCAUCUCCUCUAUUACUUUUAGAGUUUUUAUUUUAUUGCUUAAGUGAUUUUAAACUUCAUUUUUAUAUGUUCACAUAUACAAAUUAAUUCACAUAUGUUCGUAUGAAUUAAUUCUAAAAUUUAAGAAGUCUUAUUCACACUUUGAUAUGGCUUCUUUAUCAUUUUAGAUUCUACACAAGUUUUACAUUUAUAUUCAUAACUUUCUUUGUAAGAUAUUAAAUACAGUUUAACAUUCGUUUCAUGAUACUUUACCUAUGUGACAUAAUCUAGCAUGUCAUAAAGUAAAUGAAUUAAUCAAAUAAGAAAACUCGUCAACUUUACAAAGUUGACCAUUCCUUUACUAGAGUAGCAAUUUUCAACAAAUUUUCCAUUUAGGGACGGUACAAGUUUACGAGACUCAUAAACACUUUCUAUGCUCGGGUUUCCUAAGAGAUUACCAUAUACUAAGUUUCUAUUUACAUCUGGAACAUGUAGUACAUUUGUUAAGGUAACGGUCUUGCCGAAAGUGAAAAUAAUCUCUACAUUUUCCCUUUCUAAUCACUUUGGAGUGACCUUCAUUACCCAUUUGAAUCUUUUAAUCUCCAUCCACUUUAUAAUAAGUCUUGAAUAAAGAUUUAUCAUAUGACACGUGUACAAGAGCACAUGUAUCAUACCACCAACUAGGAAUCUUUCGCUUAAUACCACUGAUCUUACUCACAGUAGCCACAAUGUUAUUUUCUUUGAUAGAUUUCCUUCGAAACUAUUUUGUUUUUGGUGUUCACAUUCUUUUGCAUAAUGUCUGGGUUUUCCAUAUACAAAGCAACCAUCGUUGGACUUCUUCUUAAAUUUGUUAGGGUUUUGAGAAGCCUUUAAGGGUUGAUCUUCUCCAUGACAUUGACCUUUGAAAUGCCUUCAUAAGAAUUGUUAUUUUUAUCUCUUAAUCUUGACCCUUUCUCAAUUCAAAUAUGUUUUUGUACUUGUUCCAAAGAGUAAUCUUCGGAACUAUGCAUGAUUUUCUUCUAAUAAGUUUUUGAGAGUUUCACAAUGAUUGCUAUCGCUUUGAAAGAUUUCAGAAUUUCAAUUUUGACUGCCUUGAACUUGUUGAUAAGAACUUGAAAUUCAUGCACUUGGGAAAGAAGAGGAAUAUCUUCAAUGAAUUUAAAAUGAAAAUAUCUUGAUAUGAGAAGCUUCUUUGUACUUUCUUCUUUGUCUUUCUAUUUGUUUUCCAAUGCAUCCCAAAUGUCUUUUGCCAAAGACGUAUUAGUGUAGAGAUCAUACAACCGAACAGAUAAUGCAUUAAAUAUGUAACUGCAACAAAUCAAUUCAUCCUCUUGACGUUUUUAUCUUUUGACUCUUACAUCAUCAGUAUCUCCAUUUGUUGGUUUUGGUAGCGAGGUCAACUCCGGAUCAAGAAUGUAAAAGAUCUUCAACACUGUUAGGAGAAACUUCUACAUAUUGUAAAAUUCGUCCCAUCAAAACGGUCCAAACAAAUGAUGUCUUGAUUCAUCAACUUGAUUGUUACCAUAGUAGUUUCAUUCUCCAUUGCAAAUAUUGUUAGAUAUUGUUGGAAUUAUAUUUCCAAAUAAGAGGAAAUGAGAAGAAAUGAAAUAUCAGAAUCAAGACUUUAAAAAAAAAGUCUUAAACACGUAAUCGUUGUCCUCAAACGAUAUUUGCUCCUUCUUGGAUUGAAUUUGAUGCUUGAAACUCUUGGCAAAUGGUUGGCAGGAUUUAUCAAUCCUUGAAAAGGAAUAAACACUUAAGUAUUAGUGAAAUUCCUUCAAAACUCAAAAACACAAAAUUAGAAUUUUGAAUAUGAAAGAAAAGAGUUUUUAAUCUUUUCUUGUGAGAUGGAAUUUGAUCUCAAGUGGUUUUAAUGUGUUUUGUAAUGAUCAUUAACCACCUAUUUAUAUAUCUCAAUCAAUAUUACACAAAAUGGUGCCAAAACAUGAUGAAAAGAGACAAAUUUUCAUCCAAAAGGACACCAGUUUUCAAGUUGAAAAAUCAAUCAAUAACUUGUUUUUAACCCCAUGCGUACACAUAGUAUAAACAAUGAGUGCGCAUAGUACAAGUAUGUUGCUUCUGUUCCGGUCAAUACAAACCAUGCGUAUGCAUGCAUGACAAAAUCACCAUGUGUACGCAUGGGCAAAUAAUUCUCAUUUUUCAUUUUAUCCAUUCCAUUGUUCCCAUUGAAGGCCCAAUAAUCAGUCCACUUAAUUGCUUGAUUUUGAACAAUAUUUAGCAUAGCUUCCAUUAGUUACUGCAUGGACUUUGUGAAAAUAAUAAUUUACCGUAUAUAUGACCAAGUCCCCAGCUGAUAGGUGCGACUAAUGUUUGAUUGAGUCUCUGUUUCUUUUGGAGUGUUAAUAAUAAAAACAUGAAGAUUAGGCAUCUUAGUAGAUUCUUUGGACAACACGGCAUUUUUGUAUUGUAACUCUUGUUCUUAGCACUGUUUUUCUUUGGGUUGCCCCCCCAAAAAAAAAAAUAAAAUCGCUUUCUAUAAGUUUAUUAUCAUUGGAAGAGUGGAUAAGAAUGUUCACUUACAAUAAAUUUAUAAUACCGACGCUUUUUUGUUGUUUAUCUUAGCCAAUAAUAGCAGUCAGAAGUAACAACAAACUAUACUACGUUAAAUGUGAUCAACUUACUUAGAAACUAUUGCAUUUGAAUCUGUCAGGUUCUAAACAAGCACUUACUUGAAAUCAGAAGAACUGAGAGGAAACUUUUCUUCUGUUAAGGGAAUAUAAUCCCACAUCGGUAAAAUACCGAAAUAAUGACCAAUAUAUAAAGGAUUGAGACACUCCUCUUAAUAAGGUUGACCUUAUUAAGAUGGACCCCAAGUCUUAACAUGGUAUCAGAGCCCAUUAAGCUCCAACGAGCGAUUCGAUCCGAUUAAGUCUCUAAAAAUGAGCACACGGAUUUCAAGAUUGGUCUGCUCAAACGAGCCACCAUCUUGCGGGGGCAUGUUAAGGGAAUAUAAUCCCACAUCGGUAAAAUACCGAAAUAAUGACCAAUAUAUAAAGGAUUGGGACACUCCUCUUAAUAAGGUUGACCUUAUUAAGAUGGACCCCAAGUCUUAACAUCUUCUUGGUCAAUUUUGUGGAAUUAAAUGAAAACACAUCAAUCUUUCAUGGUUAGUUAGCCACCAUACCGUCAAUUCUUUACAGUUGAGAAUAGGUAAUGUGUUUGUUUAUUUUUUCUUAGAAGGCAUUUUGGAUUGUUAAUAUUUUUAAAUUAAAAAAAUUAUUUUAAUUUUGAUAUUGGGAUCAAAGGCUAUUUUCAUAAAUUAAUUUUAUAAAGAGGCCAUCAACCCAGUUCUCACUAAGAGGUUGUUUGGUGAGAAUUAAAAUUAGAUUUUUAGUAGAUUUUGAUACAAGUUUUGGAAAUGUGUGAUUGAAAAGUUGUGGAACUCAUAAAAAAGUAGUUAAUAUUGAUUGUUUAACUUUGACUUAAAUUAAAAUUAGAUUAAAAUCUGAGCUAAACAUGGGCUAAAAUUAAUUUAUAACUUUAAAAAGUAAUAUUUAAACAAAUGAAAAUGAAACUCAAAUAAAAGCAUAGUUGGGCCAUUAGUUUACCCAUUGAAGGGUCUCAAUUUGGCUCACAGGCUCGUAGCUCAACUUGAAAAAAGUUUAAGUCUGCCCAACUUGCAACUCUAUUUUACCGAGCUGAGGCUCGGGCCAUGCCCCAUUUUGGGCUGUUGGCUUGAGCCCAAGCCCGCCAUAGUGCCAUUUCGGCCUAUGAAAAACUAAGCAUUAAAAAAAUUAAAAAUUAAAAGCUUAGCAAGCAAGCCUACAGGCAGCUAGGUUACCCGACUUGGCUCAAUAAAGACCCCAGCCGAAAGUUCGGGUAGAGACUAAAUUUUUUGACAGAGCAAAAACUCAGCUCGGGCCAAAAUAGUUUGAACAAUUUUUACUUGAGCGGAGUUUGAGACUCAAGUUUGGCUCAUGAGUCGACUUGAUUUGAUUCGUUGACAUUCCUAAAUCAUCUAAGAAGUCCAGCCAAUAGUAGGCCAUGUUUGAGUGCAACCUAAAUUGUUUGAAAAUUGUACGUACCUGACCUCCACCUGGUUGCACUAUCACAAGGACCCAAAUAUAACAAUAAUUGUUGUACCCCAACUUGAACCAUGUUCACUUGCCACUUCUGCCACCAGAAUAACCUUCGUUGCUCACCAUCAACAGACUUCAUCGACUAUCGUGACCACUAUCCCAUCUCAUAAAAAGGGCCAAAAAUACUAAUUUCGGUUCAAAUUAAAAUCAUGAUUAAAAAUUUAACAAGAAAAGGGUAAUAGUACUACACUCAACGCUUAACAAAAAAUGGUCCAGCCACUUGUCAAGUGAUUUAUAGUGCAUUGGUUAGAAUGCGACUACGACCCCACUUUUUGUAGCAUUGCUAUUGCGCUAUUAGUACAGCGCUAGAUAAAGGUUACUUUUUACAGCGCUGACAGUAUUUGCAGGAUUAGCGGUUGGGCUUUUGCUCUCAAUAGUAGCUCCAGCGGUACUUUGAUCGCAUUGUGUUGCAUUCACCAAGGUAAAGAAUGCAAGAAUACUUUCAUUGGCCCUUUAUUUUUUUUUUUCACUUUAUUAUUUCAAUUUCGAAUUCAGUCCAAAACGAAAAUCAUAUUUCAAUUCAAAUAAUAAAAUCUAAUUUUUUGUUUCAAUUUUCAUCACCGAAUCUAAUUCAUGAGUUCCAAACUUCAAGCUUAAAAUUAGACUACAAUUCUCUUGCUAACACCAAAUUACAAAUUCAUGAAAUUUGACUUAACAAAACAUGAUAAACAUAUAUGCACAAAAAAACUUCAAAAUUUAAUUCCCACCUCAAUCAACAUUAUGCUGUAAUAUCAUUUGAGAUAAGACUCUAAUGCGAACCCACGUAGCAAUUGAAGCAACGAAACCCACAUGAGAUUGAAUCGAACCCAAGAGAGCCAAAUAAGUAAAAGUUUUUGGAUUUAACCUAAAAAUAAUGAAUCAAGCAACCAAACAAUCGACUACGAUGUAUUUACCUAGGAAUGUCAACGAGCCGAAUUAAGCCGGAUCGCGAGCCGAAACUCGACACUCGGGCUUGGCUCGAGUAAAACAUAGCGGGCUUUUUUUGAGCCCAAGCCGAAUCUAGCCGAGCAAAAGCUCGGCCAGAAAAAUACAACUCGGGUUUUUUUUUUUUUUUGACAAAUUUUUAUCUAAUUUUUAAUGACAUUUUUCAAAAAAAAAAUCACUUUUCAUAAAGUUCAUAUUUCGUCCCAAUUUUUUAAAAUUCAUUUUUAACCAUAUAUUUACAGGAUCAAAUUCUAAUUACAGAUUUUAUCAACUUUUAUAAAGAUUUACUAAAAUUUUAAUUUUUAACCAAAUCAAAUAGGAGUAAAUUAUAUUAUCAAAAAUCUACUUCAAUCAAGCUCUCUCGAUAUAUUAAAAUAGUUAUAGUUGAAUAUUUUUAAAAUGUUUAACCGCGUUACAAAUCAAACUUAAGUUUAAAGAAUUUAAAAAUUACAUCAUUUAUACGAAUUACAAAUUAAAUAAAAGUUACAACUUACAAAAUACGUAAUUUAUAUGAAGAACAAAUUAAUAAAAGUUACAAGUUACAACCCUCAUCUUUUUUUCGGGUUUGGGAUCGGCUACAAUCAAUGUAGGAGGAGUUAAAAUUGAACAUGAAUAAAAUAUUUCGUGUACAAUUUUUCUUGAAACAAAUAAAUUUAAAAAUUACAUUUUUAAAGAAAAAUAAUUAAUUUAAAAACUUGCAACAUCCUAUGUUUGGAUCUGUUGCAACUCUUCGGCCAUUAUACUGUUAACAUGUUCUUGAAUACGUAAUUCCGCACAUUCUCAUUCCUUUAAGCAUAUUAAAGUCUCCAAUAUAUCUUCUUUUAGUCUUGAUCAUUCAUUUGACAAAAUUUGACUACCUAAAUUGAAUGUAACCUCCGAUGCUAUCGUAGACACCGAAGGUGUUAGUAGACCACGUGCAAUUUUUGAUACAAUUGGCUAUUGCCUUUCGUUACACCUCCACCAAUUUAGAAGACUAAAUUCAUGUAAUUCUUUUGGUUGUAACGCACUACGAAUAUUCACGCACAUAUACCUAGCUAGCUUAGAAGGAAUUUCAAAAUUUGUAUCACCAACAUUGAUCGCUCUACAUAUUGAUGAAUUAGAACUAGAACUAAAUGAAGGAACGCUUGUAUUGCUUUCCAAAUAAUUUCAUAAAUUAUCUAAAUUUGUUAAAAUAUUUCUUGAAAAAGAACCUAGAGAAGUAAAACUAACCUGGCCUACCUUUUCAGCAUAAUAAUUAUAUAUUUCACAUAAAAGAUAUUCUAUAUGCACAUGUAAUAAUUCUACAUUCAAAUAAUUUGAUAUCCCCUUAAUAGUGGCUUUUGUGCAAGUUAAGUUAAGUCGAGGGUCCAUUACUGAAGCUAAAAAAAAUAAAGAGGGCAACUCUUCUCAAUAUAUAUGAAAUUUUAACUCCAUAGAACAGACUACAUCAGAAAAAAGUGGCAAAUUCCUAUAUUGUGAAAUGCUUGUGAAAUGUAGAAAAAAAAGUUGUAAAACAAGUGAAUAUGUAGGGUAAUAAACAUCGCUACAUUCCUUUGUAGCAUCGAAAAAAGGUUGUAAGAAUUUUUCAGGUAAAAUGCAAUAGACCAUUCCCAAUCUUCCAAGUGAUGUUCAGGUUCGAGUGUAUGCCUACCAUUAUAAUAUAGUGAAAUCACUUUAUCGUAAUUUUUACACGAAUAUAACAUAAGAUAUGUAGAGUUUCAUCUAUGUGUUACAUCAGUGGUAAAUGAUUUCUCCUAUAAUCCAUACUCUGCACAUAAACUGUUAAAUGCUCACUUUCUUGAUGGUGAUACAGUAAUAAAAUUUAUUGCCUAUCUAAUUUUAUCUAAAGGUAAACUUAUAUGUUCUAAUUCAGGUUUUACAAUCAAAUUGAUAAUAUGACAUGCACAAUGUUGAUGAAAAAAUAAAUUUCCAAAUAUGGGGUUAAGAUCAGUAAUAAAUCUUUCAACAACAACUUUAUUCACCGCAUUAUUAUCAAAAGUAAAGCUUCGAACUAUAUUUUACAUACCAUAUUCCUGUAUGAUAUCUUUUAAAAUCAUGUAUAGGUUAAUAGCAUUAUGGGGAAAAUCUACAUAUCUAAAUGCAAUAAUCCUUUUAUGUAAGAGGCACAGGUGAUCAAUAUAAUGAGUCGUAGCAGCAAUAUAACAUUUUCUAUUACCAUCGGUCCAUAAAUCAAAGGUAAACGAUAUAACAAUUUUAAAACUUUUUAGACCUUCAAUAGCAAUUUAUUUUCUUUUGUUAUAUAAUUUUAUAAUAUCCGAAUGAAUGGUAUUUCAACAAUAAGAAGAAUACUUGGGUUGGAGAUAUUUCUACACGAGCUGGGUAAAGCGUACAGAGUCUAUCAUCGUAAGCGGCAUUAUGGGAAAAAUCUACACAUCUGAAUGUAAUAAUCCUUUUAUGUAAAAGUCACAGGUGAUCAAUAUAAUGAGCCGUAGUAGCAAUAUAACCUUUUUUAUUACCAUCGUUCCAUAAAUUAGAGGUAAACGAUAUAACACUAUUAAAACUUUUUAGACCUUCAAUAGCAAUUUGUUUUCUUUUGUUAUAUAGUUUUAUAAUAUCCGAAUGAAGGGUAUUUUUACAAUAAGAAGAAUACCUGGGUUGGAGAUAUUUCUGCACAAGCCGGGUGAAGCGUACAGAGUUUAUCAUCAUAAGCGGCAUCUCUGCUACAGCUACGUAUGCAGUCAUUCCUUCACGAAAUCUUUCCUGUGAAUAUACAAUUGUGGAAAGAGUAAAACUAAAACUGCCAAACACUAGUUCGGUCUAUUUCGAGUUAAGAUCGACUGGUUUCGCUUUGCAACUCCUUAAUACGUGUCUAUUCAAAUGCGUUGUGCUCGAGCCGGGCUUCCAACAUUCUUUGCCACAAUAAUUGCAAUAUUCUUUCCAAAUAUCUACUCCAUUUUGAACAUCAAUUUUUUUACGUAUCAUAUGUUGUCUACAAUCCGAUGAUUCUUUUUUUGACCUUUUAGUCUCGAGUACUUCUUCCUCUUCAAUAUUCUUCAAAUCAAUUGGAACAUUUUAAUAUGCAUCAUAGUUAGAUGAAGUACUCGAGCUACCACCAAAGUGAUUAACAUAAUCACUUGUAAAAUUCAUUAAUAAAUAGUAAAGUAAAAAAUACUUAAUAUUAAACUUUAGAGUGAAAGAAAUUGAAUAUGCUAUAUGAGAAGUGAGAACGAAGAAAUUAGAAUUGAAACUUGAAUGAUUGUAAUACAGUAAUAAUGUGAAUUAAAAUCGAUAAUAAAUUGAUUUGAAACUUCAAAAUUUACUCUGUAUUUAUAGACAACAAAAUUCGCCUUGUUUUUUCAAAUUUGAAUUUCAAAUUUGCUAGGAGAGGGGCCGAAAGUAGAGCUGCAGAAAGUUUCCUUCUGCAGGCUGCCUAGUGAAAUGGGCAACUAUAGCUGGCUUAAAAAGGCAGCAGGUAUAGCUGCCAACGGGCUGCUAUACCUACUGCCUCUAUUUCUUUUUUUUUUAAUUUAAUUUUUUUAGUUUUCAAACUUUUAAUCUUUUCUCUUUUAUUAGGCUCAGGCCGAGCCGGUAUUGUCAUGGGCCAUUUUUGGCUCGUGACAUGAGCAGGCCCGUGCGGUUCAACUUGGGCUCUGGCCAACGCCUCAUUUUCGAGCUCGGCUAGAGCCUCAGGUCGAUUUCUUCGAGCCAUGAACGGGGCUGGCUCAGGCUGCCCAAGCCAUCGAGCCAUUUUGACACCCCUAUAUUUACCUCUUGAACAUAGGACUUAUGAAUCUCAUCCAGUUGUUUGAACGCCACAAGAAUUAAUCUUGAUAAGUUCAGUAAAUUACUCAAUGAAGAACAAAGGAAUAGAAAACAAAUUUGCCUUUGAAUUAAUCUCUCAAUAAUGUCUAAGUUCUUUACAAUGAAUGGAACGAAAUCUAUUUAUACUAAAUCUUAAAAACUUAGUUAAAAAUGAAAAUAAUCCUAAAAGACUACAUAGGUACCAAAAAAAUAGUGUUUUAACAUAAUUAGGAAACUUUCGCAGAAAAGGAAAAAUUCGCAUCAAAAUAUCACUAUGCAGCUGCAUAGUAUUAAUCUAUGCGAUCGCAUAGACACUGCCCCUGUCCCUGCUCAAUUCUCCUAAAGUGGGCAUGCGGUAAAGUUAUGCGACCACAUAGCUUUCCCGUCUAACCUCCUCGCUCGAAACUUGUAUCGAGUUGAUCCAAUUUGUUUUCGCUCCCGAACCCAAUAUGGAACUUGUUGAUUUGCUCGCCGUGAUCAAUUUUUCAUCCACGUGGCUUAAACAAGAAAUAUAUUCUCUAAACACAGUGCGUAACAAUUAGAUCAUAGUCCUAUUAACUACUUCGAUUUGUCCAUCGGUUUGUGGGUGACAAGUAGUAGAAAACAACAAUUUCUUACCUAACUUAUCCACAAAACCUACCAAAAAUGACUAAGAAAUUUGACAUCCCUAUCCGACACAAUACUCCUAGGAAUCCCAUCUAAAUGCACUACUUUCUUAAAGACUAGAUCUACAAUACUUGUAGCAUCAACAGUUUAUGGUAUGGAAUGAAUUGUGCCAUUUUACUAAAUAUAUCUACCACCAAAAAUAUUGAAUCUCGUUCUUUCUUAGUCCUAGGUAAAGAAAAAAUGAAGUCAAUGGAAAUGUCAACCCAAGGUUCACUAGGAACAGGUAAAGGUGUGUACAAUUCUUGAGGUAAAACUUUAGACUUAGCCUUCUUAUUAGUUAUGCAUCUACUACAAAUCCGUUCUACGUCAAUUUUCAUUUUAGGCCAAUAAAAAUGUUCUCUAACAUCUCUAAAGUCUUCUUGACCCUAAAGUGACCCAUUAGUCUCCCACUGUGCUUCCUUUACCAACAACUCUCGCAUUGAACAAUUAGGAACACAUAGUUUGUUUUUCCGAAAUAAAUAACCCUCACUCUUAAAGAAUUUAUUUGCAGUUCAUUUAUUACAUGAUUUGUAUAUAUCAGAAAAAUCUGGAUCAUUGGCAUAUAUGUCAUUAAUGUAUUCAAAUCCAAGCAAUUUUGUAAUUAAAGAAGUUAAAAGCACAUACCUUCUAGACAACGAUCUGCUACAAUAUUUUUCUUACCUUUUUUGUACUGGACGACAUAAGGAAACGUUUUGAUGAAUUCCAUCCAUCUGGGAUGCCUUUUGUUCAGUUUACAUUGGCCUCACAAAUGCUUUAAUGACUUAUGGUCAGUGUGAAUCACAAACUCCUUUGGCCAUAGGUAGUGCUGCUAUGUCUCCAAAGCUCGAACAAGCGAAUAUAACUCCUUGUCAUAUGUAGGAUAGUUGAGAGCUGCUCCACUUAGCUUUGCACUGAAGUGAGCUAUUGGCCUUCUAUCUUGCAUCAAAACGGCUCCAAUACCCAUCUUGGAAGUAUCGUACUCAAUCUCGAAAGUUUUGUCAAAGUUUGGAAGUGCUAAAAUCGGUGCUUUACACAACCUAUCUUUAAUAGUGUUGAAUGCAUGUUCCUAUUCUACGCCCCAUUAAAAUCCUACACUCUUUUUAAUAAUUUCAGUAAGUUGAAUGACAAUUGUGCUGAAGUCCUUUACAAACCGCCUAUAGAAACUAGCCAAACCAUGAAAACUCCUUGCCUUAGUUACUCUUUUAGAUGUUGACCAUUCCUUAAUAGCCUUGAUUUUUUCUUCAUCUAUCUCUAUCCCCUUUGCACCAACCACAUACCCUAGAAAGACAACUUUUUUCAUGCAAAAUGUACAAUUUUUAAAGCUAGCAUAAAGUUGUUCUUUUCUUAAAACCACAGGAACACUCCUUAGAUAUUCUAUAUACUCAUUAAGGUCCUUACUAUAGAUUAAUAUGUCAUCAAAAUAAAUUACCACAAAUUUGCCGAUAUAUGCAAGCAAAACACGAUUCAUUAGUCGCAUAAAUGUGCUUGGAGCAUUAAUGAGUCCGAACAAAAAACCAAACAUUCAUACAAGCCAUAUUUAGUCUUAGAAGCGAUUUUCCAUUCAUCUCCUUCCAUCAUUCUAAUUUUGUGAUAUCCACUUUUAAGGUCAAUUUUACUAAAUAUGCAUGUGCCAUAUAAUUCGUCCAACAGAUCAUCUACCCUAGGAAUAGAAUGACGAUACUUUACUGUUAUGUUGUUGAUGGCUCUGCAAUCCAUAUACAUUCUCCAAGUUUCGUCUUUCUUUGACACAAGUAGCACUAGCACGACACAUGGACUUAUACUCUCUCUUACAUACCCCUUGCUCAUCAAUUCCUCCACUUGUCUUUGAAGUUCCUUUGUCUCCUAGCAAUUACUUAGGUAAGCUAGUCUGUUUGGGAUGAUAGCUCAAGGUAUGAAGUCAAUUUGAUAUUCAAUGCCUCGGAUAGGUGGUAACCCACUAGGCACGUCCUCUGCGAAUAAAUAUUCAAAUUCCUACAACAAAGAGAUAGCCAAACUAGGGAGUGAUGGGUUAGAUCCUCAAGAUUCAAGAAUGACUCUUUAUAGACCAAUAAAAUUAUUUGUUGCCUCUCCAUUAUUGCCCUCUUCAACUCACUCCCUUUUGUAAAAAAAUUCUCUUUUGACUUUUGUCUCAUUUUGAAAGACUCUUUUUCUUUUCUCUCAUGUGUCUCAACUCUUUUUUCUACCUAUUAGCCACCUCACUAUUUUUUUCUCUUGUUCUCUAAUUCUCUCAUUCUUCUCUCUUCCUCAUUUUUCAAUUUGAUUUGGUCCUUACACACUUAUGCUGGUGUUAAUGGCACAAUGGUAAUAGACUUUCCAUUCUAGACAAUGUUGUACCUAUUUUUGUACUCAUCAUGAAUUACUUUUCUAUCAUAUUGCCAAGGCAUCCCAAGCAAGAUGUGCCCAGCAUGCAUAGGUACUAUGUCACACAUCACCUCGUCAUGAUAUCUACACCAAGCGAAAAAUUUAUCAAGAUUCUCUUAUUGACCUUAACCUCCCACAUUCAUUUAACCAUUGCAAUCUAUAAGGUUUCAGAAGUUUUAGCAAAGUUAGUCCCAAUUUUUCAACGAGAGUAAUGCUAGCCACAUUUGUACAACUAUCACCAUCUAUAAUCAUGCUACAUACCUUAUCAUUAAUGUGGCAUCACGUAUGGAAAAUGUUUUCUCUUUGCUUCUCCAAGUCAUCCACCUUGAUUUUAGCAUCAAGUGCUCUCCUCGUGACCAAGAGCUCUCUAACUUUUUACAAUCACUUGUCCCCUCCAAUUUCGGCAUGUCUGCAUAAUCAUCUUCAAUUUCGCUUACCACUUUUCCAUUGUCCUGCAAAAUCAUUGCCCUUUUGUUUGGGCAUUGAAAAGCAAUGUGUCCUGACCCCAAACACCAAAAAUAUUUGAUGUCUCAACUCUUUGAUGGUUGAGAUUCCACCUUGGGUGUAGUCUUGCUAGCACUUUCUUUUCCCCUCCUUGGUACUUCAGAUUUACCCUUCAAAAUAGCCCCAUCUUCUUUAUUUUUAUCCCACUUCAGCGUCCAAUAAGAAUUAGAACCCAAAGAACCCGAUAGAUACCUUAUUGUCCCUUUCUUCUUCAAUUGCCUUUCCACCUUCAUAGCCAUGUGUAGCAUGUCUUCCAAUUCCGCAUAGUAUUACAACUCCACUACAUUAGCUAUUUCUCUAUUCAAUCCAUUCAAAAACCUAGCCAUUGUGGCUUCCUGAUCCUCUUCCACAUUCACCCUUAUCAUCAACAUCUCCAUCUCCUUAUGAAAAUUCUCUAUGCUCCUAGAACCUUGGUAGAGGCCUUGUAACUUUUUAUGAAGCUCCCUAUAGUAGUGACUAGGCAUGAAUAUCUUUCGUAUGAUAGCCUUUAAUUCCCCCCAUGUGUUAAUCGACCUCCACGAUUUCUCUUCCUUGAUGUCUCCACUUUAUCCCACCAAGUUAUUGCAUAAUUAGUGAAUCCAAGGACUGCAAUUUUUACCUUAUUUUCCUUUGAAUAAUUGUGUUAAUCAAAAACCAAUUCCACCUUUUUCUCUUACUCUAGUAAGCUUCCGGAUCACUCAUACUUUUGAAUGAUGGAAUUGUCAUUUUAAUAUUACCCAUACUUUCAUUCAUUUCAUCUCCAACAAGAUUCCUAUCCAUUCUUUCAAGCCUACCUCCUAUAUUCCUAAUUCUCCAUAUUUCAGCCUCAACUAAUGCCUCUUCAUCUAAGUUGCUGUCGUCAUUAUAUUCUACCCGAUUCUCCACCCAAGGCUCCCACCUACCUUACUUUAUUACAUUGGGUACUCCCCUUCGUAGAUUGGCAAGCACUGAGUCUUGCCUUUCCAUCCAUGCCUCUUGUUGUUCACAAGGGCCAACUUGAUCCUUUGCAUCCGAUAUUUUUGUUCCGACAGUGUGAUGGAGAAUGGAUGCAAGUAAGAGAUGAGCAUUCUCAAUAUUAUGUCACGAAGAGGGCUCAAACCUCCGCGCUCUUGUACACAAGAUUUUAUCCAACCUUUCCCGAACAUCUUCAAACAAUCUUUCAAACUGUCAUAUCACCUCAUUCGUCAUGUUGAUUUGUUUGUUGUUCUGCUUGAGGUUGAAUCUUCUUUUUUAGACAUCCUAAAUUGAAUUUAUUAUAUGCUUCACGUAUGUACUCUUGUGUAUCACUCAAUUUGGCUUUUACCCACUAUUAGUCUCCCCACCUUGCCUUUUUUCACUCAAUAAUUUCGCCCAAGUGCUUCAAAGAGCAAUUUCAAACUCAACCAAGAAUUAUUCUCAUAGAAUUCAAACUAAGAUGUGGGUGAAAAUUGUAACCUUAAAAGACUCAAGGAAGAAAGGAAAUAAUUUUGGCAGUUUGGAAUGAGAACUAUUGUAAUUCAAGAAAGUGAUUCUUGAAUUUUUGUUGGAUCAGACAAAUAAAAUUUUGACUCAACGAAUGAUAGAAUGCCAGGAAUUUUUGAAAUAAAUCAAACAAUAAUAAUAAUUAUUAUUAUUAUUAUUAUUUUGAAUUUUUGAAUUUUUUUGUUUAAAAAUUCAACUACGAAACUAACAAAACAAACGAAAAUUGAUUUGGGUGCUAAAUUAGUCCAAAAACAACUUUUGAAUUUUUUUUUUUUUUUUACUUUUAUGGAUUGAAGACUUAAAAGACGAAGAAAAAGGAGAAAAAGGAAAACAUGACUCAAAAUAAAAAGAAAAGGAUAUAACCUUGAUUUUUGGAGCCUAAGCUCUGAUACCAACUGAUACGAACUCACGUAGCAAUUGAAGCAACGUAACCCACACGAGAUUGACCCAAUGAAGUCAAAUAAAUCAAAGUUUUUAGAUUUAACCUAAAAAUAAUGAAUUAAGCAACCAAACAAUGGCCUACGAUGUAUUGACCUCUUGAUUACAAUAUUUUUGAAUCUCACUUUGUUGUUUGAAGGCCACAAGAAUUAAAUUUGAUAAGUUCAGUAUAUUGCUCAAUGAAGAAUGAAGGAAUAGAAAGUAAAAUUGCCUUUGAAUUUAUCUCUCAAUAAUGUCUAAGUUCUUUACAAUGAAUGGAAUGAAAUCUAUUUAUACUAAACCUUAAAGAAAGAAAAUAAUCCUAAAAGAUUACAAAGAUGCCGAAAAAAUAGUGUUUUAAUAUAAUUAGGAAACUAUCAUGGAAAAGGAAAAAUAUGAGUCAAAAUUUCACUAUGCAGCCACCUAUUAUUAAUCUAUGCUGUCGUAUAGACACCUAUUUGGUCCUGUUAAAUUUUUUGAAAGUUGUAAAGCUAUGCAACAGCAUAGCUUUCAUGUCCGGUAUCCUGGCUCGAAACUUAUAUCGAGUUGAUCCAACUUGUUUCAGCUCCAAAGCCUAGCACGAAAGUUGUUGAUUUGCUCAUCAUGAUCAAUAUUUCAUCUACCGUGGCUUGAACAAGCAAUCCCAUUGCUUCUUUGACUCGCUUCGCUCGCGAUCGAGUCAUCGAUCCUUCUUCGACAGUCAACGGGUUUUUACUUGGACUUGUACUCGUUGCUUGUAUCACAUUAGACUCCACACCUUUGAAGAUCAAUCACGCAAAAGUAAUUUUAUUAUUGACCAUCCUAUGAUUAAAGACUGCAUAAAAAAUUAUGUAUAUUUUGAUAAAUCAAACAAUGAUCAUUAGCUUACUCAAUGUCGCAACACAUACACCUCUAAUGCGAGUUUCAAAAACUUCGACAUUUCAAACAUAAUUAGUGUAAUCCUAUAAUAGUUUUAAGAAACCUUCUUAGUUAGAACCCUUUCGACUAAACUAACAAUACAUUGUAAGUGUUAUUCCAUAGGUCCAAUCAAUUUAGGUUGUAAAUAUUUUUUAUAUGAUUAAUACAUUUUAUUUAUGGAAAGAUUUAUUAUUUAAUUGAAUUACUAUUUUGAUAAAUUAUAGAGUCUGUAGAUUCAAGUCCUGAUAACUUACUAAUCACAAGGAGUUUUGAUAGUGAGAAAAAAAUUACAUAGGAUCGAAUCUUAAAUUAGCUGUGGUCGUAGGUAAUAAUGAGAUAUGAAUAUCGCAAUUAGAGAUAGACUAGCACGUGUAACAUUUCUCACUUAUAAAGUGCGUAGUUGAUUUUAUAAGCUAAAAUAUAGUGACAUUUAAAUGGACGUAUGAAUGUUUUGUUAUGAUGUUUUGUUAUGAGAUUAAAAGAUUAAGAACCCACUGGAGAGAUUUCACAUAGAUAACUAUCUGAGUUUCAGUGAUUAAUCUUUAUCUUUUGAUUUGAGGUCAUCAUAAUACCUUAUUUAGGGACAGUCAUGCUUUGGUGAUAUUGGAUGUUACUUUGUCAAGAAUCGUUAAUACGAAAUCAUUCGAGUAUGUUAAGAAUUAUAUGAAGGUUGUAAAUGAUCAAUAGAGGAUUUAUCACUUUUAGUAUUAAGAGAUUGUGAUUUAUAUUUCAUUUAGUUAAGUUGAAAAUGAAAUCCUUGGUCAAUUUGUACUCAUAAAUGACUUAAAAGAGUUUUUAACUAUAAUGACUUAAGAGUGGGAUGAAAGAUAAAAUCGAUAAUUGAGAUUGAUAUACAUCCAUAUUUCAUAAUUAAUAGAAUCAUAUAGACGAAUGGAUUAUUAUAUUUGUAGCUCCAAAAUCUAUUUCAUAUUUAUUUUAUAAAAAUAUACUCGAGGUGUUACCAAAAAUCUUCUUUAUCUAAUUCAAACGAAAAUUUUCAUAUUAAAUAGAAGUCUUGAAAUGUAUAAUUUCAAAUCAUCAAUUCAAAACUAACAUAGAACGUCAAAAGCUUGAACAUAAAAAAAUAUAUAUUAAACAAUGUGCAUAAAAAUUAACAUAAAGAUGUUCUUCAAAUAAGAUUUUUUUUUUUUUGUGAAGUAUCAUUUCUAGAAAUUUUACUUGGCGACCUCAUAAGCAUCACUCGGUCAAUCUGCCAUGUGUCCACACGAUCCGUUCUAACCUGAAAGUUAUUGUAAGAGUGAAUAUUUUGAAAACACUCAGUAAAAAUACUUGCAUAUUCAUAUUAACGUGGUAAAAAUAUAAAAUAGCAUAACAUACCGACAUUUCUUAGAUUUAGAGCAGUUGGUCGCAAAAUUCAAUAAUUCAAGAAAUUUCUUAUGAAUUCCUAAUCCCGUAGGAUUUAUACAUUCGACCUAACGGUUCAUCCUGUUGGAUUUAACAUAUUCGACCUAAUGGUCCAUUAAUGGCCCAUCACGUAGGAUUUAACAUAGAAAUCGACCCGAAAGCCAUAGAGUAUUUCAUGCCAAAGUCUAUAAAAAUAUCAAGAAAAAAGAAUUUAUCACUUGCACAAAGUAUUCUUACCUUAACUGAUACUCAAAGAAAUCUGAAAACGCAAAUGAUGAAGUUGUGUAAUUUUUUCAACAGUGUACGUGUGAAGUGAAAUUGCAAAGAAUGAAGUUGUGUAAAAUUUUUUAGUGAAAAUAGUAUCCUACUUAUAUAUACAUAAAUGUAACAUCCAAAAACUAAAAUUCCAAAAAACGUCUCAAGUCAAAAUUGUAAAAAUUCAAGGAUUAAAUAGAUCAAUUUAUUGCGUCCAUCAAUCAAUCAAUCAAACAUUAGUGACUUAAAUGUGAAUUCAACAUUUUUCAUUAAUUAAUUUAUUAAUGAAAUUCAAAUUGAUAUUAACAUGGUAACCAUACAUGUUUUGUUUUAAAAUGUUAUUUUUAUAUUAUAUAUAUUUUAAUAAAAAAUUAAAAGAUAACCAUUUUCUUUCUAUUAGAGUAACUCGGACAUAACUAGCUCAAAAUUAAUUUUCCUUGAACCCAAAUUAUAUUAUUUAACAAGAGCUACAAAAUGAUUAUAAUAUUGAUAUAUUUUUAUCAACAUCUAAAAUACUUAAAUAUUCAACACAAUAACUUACAAUAAAAUUCUAAAAAGUGUACGUAAGCAAAUAAAUCAUUUAUGAAAUAAGUGGGUUGAAUAUAACACUUCAACUUUUGAACUUUAUUGUGACGAUAUGGUUGGACAUGGACUAUUUUAUUUGCUAGAUGACCAUUAUUAAAUUUAGCCUAUAUGAAAAUAUAAUUAAAAUUCUGGGUGUUACAGUUUCAUGACAAACUAAUAAGUUUGAUUUUAUUAUAUCACGUGUCAUUUUUCGUCACAUGUAUUAUCUCUCGACACAUUGUUAAAUAUUAAUCUGGGUUGAUGGAUGUUAAUUUUUGAUAAAUUAAAAAGGAUUAUUUUAAUUUAUUGUUUCUGAUUAGAUCAAAAUAAUAAUUCAUGUCGUUAGACAUCUUGAUCUAGAAUGUAAUGGAUUACACACAAAAGAAGAACUAAAAGAUUGAUGUCAUUAAUUAAUUAAUUGACUAGUGUUGGACAUUUGUACAAUUAAUUGAUUGUGUUCAGAUUAAUUAAUUUAUUGACCAAUUUUAAUUAAUUAUAUUAAUAAAAUACUGAUUAGGUUAAAUUUAAAUUGCGGGUCAAGCCUACUUAAACUUCUAUUGAUAAACUGUUAGGAUUUAAGAAAUCACAAUAUACAAUUAUUAUCUUGUUAGCACAAGAAAAGAGACCGUAAUUCUCUCAUUGUUGUUCCCUAUGUCUAUUUUCAUUGGAGGCUGAACAAUUAGAUAGUUAUGGAUUAUAGGGUGUGAUUGUUCUUUGCAGAAUUAACUAAAGUUAUAAUUUUUAUCACAGUUUUUAUCUAAACGCAACAUAGAUCCUUGGUGAGAAUUGAAAUUAUUUCAAAUUUCUUUGUACACAAUUAAGUAAAUUUCCAACACACUUAACAUUUUUUAAGAUGCAAUGAAAUUCAUCAUUUUGGACUAAUAUUUUUCUUUUUAUUAAAAUGGUUAUUCCUUACAUAACAUUUUUAAGAUGCAAUGAAAUGAACCAUUUUCUCUCUUACCAUGACCAUUAUUAUCUCCAUCCAAUUCGAGACGUUCAUUUAUGUGUUGACCUCAAUUUUUGUAAGGGUAACAUGGCCAAUAGGUAAAUGCCCUCGCGUAGAUAUUUUAUUGCAUACGAUAACACACCAUUAGUCACUUGUAGCCUUCUCUGAAGAUGGUGGAGGUGACUGUGAGCACUCCGACAAUGAAGAAAGGAAUAUAUUACGCUGAUUGCAAGACACGAGAAUAAUAUAACAAAAUGUAUUUUUUUAGUGUAUAGAAUUGCACCAGAGUACAAUUGGAAGGCCUAGUGAAGAAUCUUAGAGCCAAAAACAUUAAUUUGGCAAAGAGGCUAGAAACCUUCUUGCACUACGGCGACAAAGUCAAUGCUACGAAGGCUAAGUAGAGCAACUGAGUUGAAAAGAGAGAUGCUAAGAGUAAGCUUGAGAAAGCCAAUGCCUUGGUAGAGUAACUGAAAUAAGUGUUGCAUGAGACAGGGUGUCAAGUAGCCGCCUUGAUGAGGGUCGACUAUGCCAUUGAGCAUCAUCAUCUAGUAGUCAAGGCUUUGAAGACCUCAUAGAAAGAGAAAAAUGAACUCAAGUACUUGGCUUCACAAAUAGCAAAGAUUGAGCAUUUGAAGGUUGAGACAAAGUUUGUUGGCGAAGCUACAGACUACAAUUGCAUAGAUAAUUUCAAGAAGAUCGAGCUUUACAACACAUUCACCAAUUACUGGGCCUCAUAGAACAUUCACUCUUGAGAAGAAUUUGGAAAACCACUAAAGACAGGCCCGAAAUUUAUGCAACCAAUGAGGUUCAACAAGAGUCUCUAAAUGUCGAGAUGAACGAAGAGGAUGAGACGGUGGAGGAUAAGGCCAUUGUGUCGGUAGACCCUUAUGAUCUUUUUUGCUUUCAAUUGUAAUAGCUUCAGCCUCCCUAAUUGUAAAUCAUUUUCUUAUAAAAAUCUUUAUUAUUAUGUCAAGUGUCAUAGCUUUUUCCUUGUUGUAUUGAUCUUUACUUACACACUUCAUACUUCAUUCGCUUUGUAAUGACAAUAAUACUUCAUCACUUAACUAAUGAAUUGUCCUCAAUUGGACCUCAUACUUAGUAAUAACGAAAUAACAAAGCAACCAAGUGUUAACACCUCAGUUGAUGUGAACCCACAUAGUAAUAGUAACCCCCAAAACCUACACAAGAUUGAAUCACAAUCCAAGAAAGCAAAAAUCCCGGUUUGAAACUUGAUCCAAUAAUUUAUUAUAUCAUGGAACCGAAGUUAUAAACGAACUUGAUCCCUUAAUCAUAAAAAUUAUGAAUCUGCCUAUGAAAUUGUUCAACGCCACCAAGAUGAAAAUCCUUGAAAAGUUUGAAAUUGAGUUCAAUGACCAAGAAGAAAGCAACCUUGCAUUGAUUUAACCUCUCAACGAUGAAUUAAUGUUCAAUGAAAAGAAUGAGCCCUAUAUAUAUAGGGAACUUAUAAAAACCCUAUGCAAUUUGAAAAUAAUCUAAAAGUACCUAAAGAAAAGAAUUAUACUGGAAAUAGAUUUCUUGAAAAAAAAAAGCACCCACUUUUACCCCUUGUGGCUACAAGGUAGUAUUGGGUGUGGCUGCUUGGUAGGCCUUGAUUUGUCUCAAGUUGAUUUUGAGUAUUAAGCGUGGCCGCAAGCCUAAUUGCUCCAUGCAGCUGCAUUGUUCGAUGUCAACUCAUCCUUUUCCUUUGCUUGAAUAUUACAACCAUCUCGGAUCCCCUUCCAUGCUCAACAAGAAACUUGGUGUUUUGCUCGUUACAAUUGAAGUAUCAGCCCAUGUAGCUUGAACAAGUAAUCGCAUAGCUUCAUUGGUCUUGUUUGCUUGAGAUCUCAUCAUUGGUCUUUCUUUCACAAUCAACGGAUCUUUACUAGCCUUCCUAUUGUUCUUAUGAUUCACUCUCUCUUCAAAAGGAUUUAUCCUCGAAUCUCAAUCUACAUCAAACAAAGAAAGAUCAGAAACAUUGAAAGUAGCAGAAAUGUUAUACUGACAUAGAAGAUCCAAUUUAUGGGCAUUGUUAUUGAUCUUUUCAAGCACUUGAAAUGGUCUAUCUUUUCUCGAUUACAAUUUUGACAUCCUUUAAGCCAAAAAAUGCUCUAUUUUCAUAGGCACCCAAACCCAAUCACAUGGUUUAAAUGUAACACGCCUCCGUACUUUAUUAGCUUGAGAAGCAUAAUGCUUAUUCUUCUUCUCAAUUUUACACCGCACUUUUUCAUUCAUUAAUAAGUAAAAGAUUAUAUCCAAAGGAGUCAAUGGACUAAACCAUAUACAAUUUCAAAAUAAGUAUAAGAAAUAUUAGAGUGCGUGGCCCUAUUGUAUUUAAACUUUAUAAAUGGCAAGCAAUCCUUUCACCUUUUCAAGUUCAUAUUGACUAUAGUGCGCAAAAGUUGUGACGAUGUCCUAUUAAUUACCUCAAUUUGUCUAUCCGUUUAUUGGUGACAAGUAGUAGAAAAUAAUAGUUUGGUUCCCAACUUACCCCACAAAACCCUCCAAAAAUGACUAAGGAACCUAACAUCUGUAUCAAACAUAAUACUGUUGGGAAUCCCGUGGAGUACCUACUAUUUUCUUAAAAAAUAAGUCAUCUAUAUUUGUAGCAUCAUCUGUUUUAGGAUAAGGAUUGAAGUGUGCCAUCUUACUAAACCUAUCCACAUCAAAUAUAUGGAAUCUCUACAUCUUUUUAAUUUUAGGCAACCCCAACAUCAACUUAAGGUUCAAGCUCACUAAGAACAGGUAAAGAUAUAUACAAACCUUGUGGUAAAACCUUAGACUUAACUUUUUACAUGUAAUACAUCUACUACAAAUGUUAUUAACUUCUAUUUUCAUUUUAGGCCUAUAAAAGCAUUCAUGCAAUAUCUCUAAGGCCUUCUUAAUGCCAAAAUGUGCCAAUUAAACCCCUCACCAUGUGCUUCACGUACUAACAAUUUACACAUAAAACAUUUAGGAACACUUAACCUAUUUUCCUUAAACAAAUAUCUUUCUUGCUUAACAUUCAAACCCAAUCAUCUUUGCACUUAAAGAAGUAAGAAGUACAUAUCUCAUUGAUAAUGCAUUAGCUACAAUGUUCUCUUUACCUUGUUUAUACCGAAUGACAUAGGGAAAUGUCUCGAUAAACUUCAUCCACCUCGCAUGCCUUUUGUUUAAUUUACCUUGGCCCUUUAGAUAUUCCAAUAGCUCUUUGAUCAUGUGGAUUACGAAGUCCUUAGGCCAUAGAUAGUGAUGCAAUGUCUCCAAAGCUCAAACAAGGGCAUAAAGCUCUUUUUUAUAUGUAGGAUAAUUCAAAGUUGUUCCAUUUAACUUUUCACUGAAAUAAGUUAUUGGUCUUCUAUCCUCAGGUAUGCUUUUUAGCAUUGGCCACUCUUUGAUGGCUUUGAUUUAAUCAUCAUCGACUCAAUACCCUUUGUACUAACAACAUAACCAAGAAAAAUAAUUUUUUCCUUGCAAAACGUAUACUUUUUAAAGUUAGCAUAAAGUUGUUCUUGCUUCAAGAUCACAAGCACACACCUCAAAUGCUCAUCUAAGUUCUUACUAUGCACUAGAAUAUCAUCAAAGUAAACUACUACAAAUUUACUGAUAAAGGUACACAAAAUAUGAUUCAUUAAUCUCAUGAAAUUUCUAGGUACAUUAGUAAGUCUAAAUGGCAUAACUAAUCACUCAUAUAAUUAAUAUUUAGUCUUAAAAGUAGUUUUCCAUUAUUUUUCUUCUAUCAUCCUAAUUUGGUGAUAUCCACUUUAAAUAUUUAUUUUACUCAUCCAUACAGUUCAUCAAGUAUAUCAUCUAACCUCGGUAUGGAAUGUUGAUACUUUACCAUUAUGCUGUUGAUUGGGACAGUCAAUGCAUAUUCCUUUUUAGGUACAAUUAGCACUAGUAUGACACGUGGACUCAUGAUUUUCCUCACAUAUCCUUUGCUCAUCAAUUCUUUCAUUUGUCUUUGAAUAUCCUUUGUCUUCUUGAGAUUGCUUCUAUAAGCUGGCGGGUUUGGAAUUAUAGCUCUAGGUAUAAAAUCAAUUUGAUGCUUUGAAUAGGUGAUAACCCACAAGACAUGCCUCCAGGGAACAAAUUUCCAAAUUUAUGCAAUAAAUAAUAGCUAAAUCGGGAAGGGAUUGGUUAAUUUCCUCAAAAUUGAGAUAUGAUUUCUAGCAGACCAGCAAUAUCAAAGCUAGUUUUCCACUAGAGCCCUCUUUAUUUCAAUCACUUUUGCAACAAAAAAAAAAAAAAAAAAGGAAAAAAAUCAGUUUUGAUUUUUCUUUUUUUCUUUGAAGACUCUUUUUCCUCUCUUUUGGCUUCACUUUUUUUCUUUAUUUUCAGCCACUUUACUAUUUUAUCUCUUCUUUGAAGUAUCAAUGUCACUUUCCUUUUGUCUCUUUUUGUUUUUCUUCUCUUGCUUACCUCUCAAUUUCAAAUGAUCCUCACUGACCUGUUUUGUUGUUAAUGGAAAAAAGUAACAAAUUCUCAUCUUAGACAAAGUUGUACUAUUUUUUAUCCAUCAUGUAUUACUUUCAUAUCAUACUGUCAUGACCUCCCUAACAAGAUAUGCGCAACAUGUAUAGGAACUACAUCACACGUUACCUCGUCAUUAUACUUCCCAAUUGUGAGGUUUAUCAUGACUUGCUUAUUAACCCUAACAUUUCCUCAUUCAUUCGACUAUUGCAAGCUAUAGGAUCUAGAAUAUUUUAACAUAGUAAAAGCCAAUUUUUCUACAUUGGUAGUACUAACAACAUUGGUACAACAUUUUCCAUCAAUAACCACACUAUAUACAUUGUUGUUAACAUGGCACCUAGUAUGAAAGAUGCUUUCCCUUUGCUGCUCCAUGUCAUCCACCUUGAUUUAUGAGCUGAGAGCAUGCCUAGUAACAAAUGUUUCACCUAUCACUGUGUACUUUACUCUAUCACCACUACAAGCAUCCUCCAAUUCAGACUUCUUAUCGCUAUCGCUAUCACUAUCACUUACCACUUUCCAAUUAUCACACAAAAUCAUUACCCUUUUGUUUGGGUAUUGAGAAGCAAUGUACCCUGAACCCAAGCAUUUAAAACGGUUGAUAUCCAUAUUCUAGAAGGUUGGGAUUCUGCCUUGGAUUUAUUUUGCUAUCUACUUCCUCUUUUCCUCUUGGUGGUUCAAUCUUAACCCUUGAAAUAACUAUAUUACUUCUAUUACUAUCCCCCUUCAGUUUCUAAGAAUGAUUAGACCUUGAAGAACCAAAAGAAUACCAAGCCGUUCCUUUUCUUUUUAUUUACCUCUCCACCUUUAUAGCCACAUGUAACAUGUCCUCUAACUCCACAUAAUAUUGUAGUUCCACUACUUUGGCUAUCUUCCUUUUCAAGCCAUUCAAAAACCUAGCCAUUGUGGCUUUCUGAUCUUUCUCAACAUCUGCCCUAAUCAUAGCUAUCUUCAUCUCUCUAUGGUAAUCUUCUAUAGUCCUCAAACCUUAGUUAAAGCCCUGUAGUUUUAGAUAAAGAUACCUAUAAUAAUAAUUAAGCACAAACCUCUUCCUUAUGAUGGCCAUUAAUUCAACCCAUAUGUCUAUAGGUCUCUCAUGAUUUCUUCUCUUAUUUGUUACUAAUUGAUCUCACCAGAUGAUUACAUAGUCAAUAAACUUUAUAACUGUUAAUUUCAACUUUUUCUCUUAAGAAUAGUUAUGGCAAUCAAAAAUCAACUCCAACUUCUUUUCCACUCCAAAUAUACCUCCAGAUCGUUUAUAUCUAUGGAUGGAGGAAAUUUCAUCUUAAUGCUACCUAAAUUUUGAUCAACCCUAUCUCUACCAAAGUCUCCAAGGUCUUCUCUAGGCCUCCUUUCACGCCUGUCCCCUCUAUUUCUUAUCCUAACCACUUCGGUCUUUAAUAAUUAAUCAUUUUCAUUUUCAUUCUAAUUACCCAAUUCAUUCUCAUCAUCAAAUUCAACUUUAGAAUCAAGCCUACCUUGUCUUCUAACAUUAGAAAUUCCUCUAGGUUGCCUGGGUUUCAUCAUGAAGGCUUGAUUGUUUCCCUCUCUAGAUAUUGAUUCUUUUUUUUAUCAAACAUCCUAAAAACUAUAAUUUGUAUGUAUCAUCACGUGUUUGACUCAUGUUUCACUCAAAUUUGGUUUUUUCCCUCUAAUAAUCUUAUCUCUCAUGCAUUUUUCCUCUCAAUGCUUUCUUUCAAGUUCUCUAAGGAAUAAUUGAUUGCAAUAAAAAAUUUAUGCCUCUAUAAGUUUCAAACUCAUAAGAACAAGGAAUUUAAAAGGGAUAAUGACUCAAUAAAAAGGACUCAAUCAAGGAAAGAAUGAUAGAACUAAAUGAAAACACAAUAAAAAAUUUCAAGAAAGUGGUUAUUGAAAUCGAUUUAUGCCUUUUCCCCAACAAAAUUGAUACCAAUGGAUGAUUUAGUUAUUGAAUUGAUUUCUCAAAAGAAAUUACACUUCAAGCAUUUUUAAGAAAGUAAUUUUUGAAAUUGAAUAAGCUUCUUUUUGGUUUGAAUUUAUUUUUAAAAAUUUUUUUGCUAGAAUUUUUUUCUAGAAUUUUUGAUGUUUUUACACAAAAUAUGCGAAAAAUCAACAAAGGAAAGAAAUAUCGAAAAAAAACUUGUAAUGGUGCAUUGAAUUUAAUGCACUAAACAAUCCUUGAAUGUUCUUAGUAUUUGCUUCGACAUGUAAAAGACUCAAGAAUAUGACAAAGACUCAAUGAAGAAAAUGAAGACUUAAUGAAGAAGGUAGGAAUUAGGAAAAAAAUGCGGAAGGAUAAAGAUAUAGCCUUGAUUUUAGUGUCAAAACUCUGAUACCAAAUGUUGUGAAUCAACGUAGCAAUAAUAACUCUAGAAUCCACACAAGAUUGAAUCAUAACCCCAAGAAAGCUAAAAAUUUAUGUCGAGUUUUAUUCCUUGCAACAGCAAGGUAGUAAUAAUAGCUGUAGAACCCACAUCAUUUCAACUCUAAUACCAAAUGAUGUGAAUCAACGUAGCAAUAAUAACUCUAGAACCAACACAAGAUUGAAUCAUAACCCCAAGAAAGCUAAAAAAUAUGUCAAGUUUUACCCCUUGCAAUAGCAAGGUAGUAUUGUGUGUGGCAGCAUGGUAGGCUUUUAUUUGUCUUGACUUGAUUUUGUGUGUUGAGUGUGGUCACAAGCUUAGUUACUCUAUUCGAUCGCAUGGUUCAAUGUCAUCUCCUCAUUUUCCUUUGCUUGAGUCAAUUGCACUCAUCUUGGUUCCUCUUCCAUGCCCAACAUAAAACUUGAUAUUUUGCUCAUUGUAAUCAAAGUCUCCACCCACAUAGCUUGAACAAGUGAUCUCAUGGCUUUCUUGAUCUUGUUUGCUCGCGAUUUCGUCAUUGGUCUUUCUUCCACAAUCAAUGAAUCCUUGCUAGCCUUCGUCAUAUGGUUCUCAUCAUUAGUUAACAUGGCUUUGUUGUCUCGAAUGAGAUGUUCAUGUAAGUCUGACACCUCAGAUAAUGAGAGGCUUUGAUCUUCAUUAAUUAAAACAUUAUAUUGCUUUUCAACAUUCGAGGUGAGUUUAUCUUUAGUUUCAUACUUGAUGGUAUUGUUAAUACUAACCUUAUCAUUUGGAGUAGAUACCAUUGUAAGAGGCUGACAGGCCAUCAAGUGCUUUCUAUAUUGUGGAUGGAUUAUCCUUGGAGAGCAUCAUCUUCAAAAGAAUUAAAGGUGACAUCCUUAUCAGAGUAUCGCACACCUUGUCUUUUGAAGCGAACAACCAUACAAGAUGUUCGUAGGCCUCAACAAGGGUUUCUUCCAUGGUAGAUGGUUUAUCCAUAAAGAGCAUUAUCUUUAAAGGAAUCAAAGAUAACCCCUUGUGGAAGUAUCACGCACCUCGACAUUUGAAGCAGACAUCCUUACAAGAGGCUGACAUGCCUCGUAAGGGUUCUCUCCAUGGUAGAUGGUUCAUCCAUGAAGAGCAUCAUUUUCGAAUGAAUCUAAAGGUAAUCCCUUGUAGAUGUAUCACACAUUCAUUCCAAGCAUAUAUCCUUGCGAAAGGCUAAUGAGCCAAUUAAGGGCUUUCUCCCUUGUAGAUAGUUCAUCCAUAGACAGUAUCAUCUUCGAAGGAGUCACAGGUGACUCCUUUGUGAGAGUAUCAAGAACCUCAUCGUCCAAAGUGGACAUUUUGCAAAAGGCUGAUGCGUCUCGUCAAGAACUCCUUCCAUGGUGGAUGGUUCAUCUAUAGACAACAUUUUUCGAAGGAUUCAGAGGUAAAAUAAGUAAUGAAAUUCAUUUUAUUGAAUAAAACACAUUUACACCGAGAAAGAUCAUUUGGCAAAAUGAUGAAGAUUGCGCACUGUUAAUAUCUUCUGAGUUGCUUAAUGUUUAAUGGGUAAUGUUGUGCUUUCCCAUUCAGGUCUUUGAUCUUGUAAGUACAAAGUCGUAGCUCCUCGUUGAUGUAGUAAGGACCAUCCCAAUUAGGGUCCAAUGUGCCUAUACCUGGCCCUUUAGAGGAUGGGAAGACUCUCCUGAGGACAAUUUCAUCGAUGUGAAAUGACCUCUCAUUUACUUGGCAUUGUAGUAGCGGGUCAUUUUUCGUUGCCAUACAACAAACUUUAAUUAUGAUUCAUCUCUCUUUUCUUCAAGAAAAUCAAGCUCAUACCAUCUCAGCUCAUCAUAAGAUAUUUUAUUGAAGUGUAAGCAGCAAGACAACCUUACCUCUAUAAGACUUAUAGCUUCGGCCCAUAGGCCACGGAGAACGGAGUUUCUCUAGUAGCAGUUCGGCUAAUGGUGCGUAUAGCUUAUAGAACUUAGAAAAUCUUGUCAAUUCAUGUACCUCUGGAGGCAUGAAGCUUCCUUCCAGGGUAUACUCAACAGAUGAUCUUCUGGAAGUUUAUAUGGAGAUAUGAAAGGGUGUUUUGGUUUUGUGAGGGUUGAUGUUUUUAUUCAAAGAACCAUGAGAAUCAAAGAUGAAAAAGAUGAAUUUAUUGUUGGUUCUUGAUCCUUUGGAAGUUGAGAGGAAUUGUUGUUUUAAUGUUUGCCAACUUUCCCUUAGAAAAUCGGACAUUUUUGUUUAUAUAUUAGGUCGAAUUUGGUAAUAUAGGGCGUUAAAAAUUCGCGAGGCAUUAAAAUUACCAAUGGCCAGAUAACAUGGUCGCUCGAGCGAGGUCCUGGCAAAACUCGAGCGACGUACCUUCGCUCAAGCGAUAGACCAGCGAAACUCCAGCGAGGUCAGUUCUGCAAUUUUGGCUCUAGCAAGGUCAGGGCGAAACUCUAGCGACAUCAACCCGCCGUUUGCAUCUUCAAAGCAUCCCACUUUACCCUAGACCUAUGCUAUGACCUGUACUAAAUUGCAACUUUAGUCCCUGAACUAUUUGACCUGGACAAUUUAGUCCUUGACUUUACAAUUUUGACAAAUAGGUCCUUUGGUCACAGAUUGCCAAUUACACAUUUUCCUAACAGAAGGAAAGCACGAUUUAUGGAGCAUGUUCAAUUAUAUAGUAAUAUAUUUAACUUAGUAUACAUUUAUCUAAAUUAGAAAGUUAAGUUAUUAUAAAUUUAUUUUCUUAGAUGGUUAAUAGGCCCUCUCAAUUGGUUAGAGACAAGAUUCGAAGACAUGAGAUAUUCUUGAGAUUGCAUAAGACAUAUAUGAGAAACCUAAAUCACAAAGGGACGGAAAGAAAUAGAAUUGAUUUCCAUAGAGAUGAGAUUGUCUAUCAUUACUAUAGGACACUUAAUACUUACUGGAGGCAUCUCAUUGAGAGACUAGACCAAAUGUUCGAGUAUUAGACCUUUCUUGUCAUAUUCAUUCCAUGUUUGAACGUCAGUGGAAGAUUAACGUUCAGGACACUAGGAGUCUUGACAGGAUAUGAGCUUGAUCAUUGCUGCGCACGUUGCCCACCUAGAAUUGACAACUAUGUAAGAAUACUGAUAGUUGACACAAUAUGGGUAACAUUAUUGGGAAAGUGGUAGAGAAAGGUCCCUAUAAAACCUUGAGAAGAGCCUGAAGUACUAGGUUUGGACAUGGUUGGAGUUGAGUCGAUUUUUAGCUUAACCUGAAAUCAACUUGGUCGAUUUAGGUAAAUUCCAAUCAAAAUCUAUCCAAUCCCAUAGUUGAAAUCGAACCAAACAAAACUAAAUCAGUUUAGGUUAAUUUGGUUUGGUUUGUCGGUUUUGACGUUGGUCCGAGUGAAAAAUUUACCUACUUAUUUUGGGUUAAAAAAUUUAUUUGCCAAUACAUAUAUAUAUAUUUUUGCUUGCGUAGUACAUAUCAUUGAUAUAUAUAAUCCAAAAUAUUAAAGGGUCAAUUUUUACAUUUGGAAUUUGGAGUUUAUGACAAACAAUUCUUUUCCUUGCUUUUCUUUUCUUUUGGAAUUCGGAGUUUUGAUUGAAGCAGCAAAAACAAAACAAAUUAUUUGAGAAAUAAUUAUAUUUGUGUUUUUAUUAUUUUAUUUUUUAAGUUUAAAAAUACGAAUUUUUGAAAAAUGAAAAAUUUUAUUAGUGGGCUGAUUGUGGUUUUUUACACAAUCAACUUGAUCCAACUUUUUAAUGGUUAAAAUUAAUCGAAUCAAAUCGAAUUUUUGGUUAAAAUCGAUCCAAACUAAUUCGACUUGGUUUGGUUUGGUUGGUUUUUCGAUUUUUUUGCCCACGCCUAUGGAGUACCAUCCCACACCAUAUUUUGAGAGGACCCUCGAGCUAAACUUUAGGGAAAAUCAAGGAGCGGGCCAAGAUGAGUGCGUCGAGAAAAGACAAUAGGAUGGAAUGAAAUCCAUUUUGUUUACAAAAGAUAUUAAGAUUGGAUUAAAUGAAAUAUGCUAUUUUUAUUUCUUCAUUCUUAAUGUUUUGGUUUAUUAAUUUUAUGUUUAUACUUUAUUCAGAGCUAAAACCCGCUCUAGAAAUUUGAACAAUAAGAACGGUCAACCACAUGUCAAAGCAAUCGAAGCGAACAAAAAAAGCCCCCCGGGGCAUAGCCUAGUGGUGCAAAGGACAUAAGUGAUGUUAUCUCAUGCCUUGCUGGCAGUCACAGUGUGGAGGUUUGAUUCUUGAUACAUGGAAUUGGGCUUCUUGUAGGCGCAGUGUACAUGCAGCUCUUGUUCCCUGGCCUGCUGGGACAAAUCCUGCGAUUUACUUCCCUCACAAAGUUCUAGGGGCAGGACGGUGGGGCCCUCAAGGUUGGGGUUCAACCUUUUUUUAAUCGAAUCGAACAAAAAAACAACAACCACCUGCCACAUCACUAGUUGCACUACCACAUGCAGAAAAAAGUGUGGUUAUAGUGGUGGAGCGAUUUUGUAAGUUGAAACCAUUUAGUUUUAAGAGGGGUACAAAUUCACUAGCUGAAGAAGAGUGGAUAGGAAAAGUAUAAUGAAUUUUUGAACACAUUGAGUGUCCAAAAACUCGAAAGGUGAUCUGUGCAACGUUUAAGUUCGAAAAAAAGUACGCUAUUGGUGGGAAAUGACUAACAGAUGUAGGAUACCUGGGCAAAUCUACAAUUGGAAUGAAUUCAGAGAAUUAUUCCUUCAAAAGUUUUUCGUUGCAAAAAUAUUUGAAACCAAUGAAAGCAGAGAUUCUAGUGGUCAAGUAGGGAAAUCUGACUUUGACAAAGUAUGAAAGAAAGCUUGAAGAAUUAUCUCUUUCUACCUCACUCUUAGUCAUUACGAAGGAAAAGAAGGCAAGACGCUUUGAGCAAUGUUUGCAUGAUGACCUAACAAGCAGUGGUCAUCCUUGAGUUAGGCACAUACAACCAAGUGCUAGCAAAGGCAUAACUAGCCAAUUUUAGAGAAAAUCCUACCAGUGUUAGCAAACAACAGCUUGUACCAUCGCAAAAGCAUAAAUGGAAGGAAGCAAGGGAAAAAUGAAAGUAGAACUUUGCAAAAAGGGGCAAAUAGGGACCAAUUUCGAGCAAUUAUUAUGAACUUCCAAUUUGUGGCAAGUGCGAGAAGUGCCAUGCUAAAGUGUGCCUUAUGGGGAUAACAUGCUACAACAAUGAGAUAGGUUACAUAGCAAAGAUUUAUCCUAAGAAACAGAAACAAAAGUAAGUAGCAACAACAAAAACUAAGGAAUUCGCUAAAGAGCAAGUCAAAGUUUAUUCCCUUACUGAACGUAAAGAGGAUCAAGGUCAAAAUGUUAUGGUAGAUAACAUCCUCAUAUUCAAUCCACCUACUUAGGCUUUCAUAGAUUCUGGCUCAACACACUCUUUUGUAUUUUUAAAUUUUAUAUGUACACUGAAUGUAAGUAGUGAACUUACAAAUAUACCCUUAGAGGUCACCAUCUCUUUAGGAGAUGUACUUAGCACAAAUCACUCUUAUUUCGAAACAAAUAUUUGCUUGAAAGGCUAUUUUGUCUUAUUUUGAUUUUGAAAUAAUAUAUAUAAAAGGAAAAUCAAACAUUCUUGCAUACUUUCUCAUAAGAGAGUUCAUACAAAAAAGAGAGAGUUGUGAAAAUAUUCAAAAAGGAGAGUAAAUGAUUUGGGAAGAUAUUUUAUCAAGAAAAGAGAGUGAGAGUCAAAGAAAAAUAAGAAUUCAAUGGCUUCCUCUAAAGCUCCAUUUGAAAAGAAAAAUAGUCAAAAAAAGGAUUACUAUUCCUUUAUUUUUAGCCCUUGUUUGAGCCCCAUUUUUGUAAAAAAAAAUGAAUUUUUGAAUAGUGUAUUGAUGGGAAAUGUGUGGUUAAAAAAUAAGGAAAUUUUUUUUCUUUGCUUGUAAUAUAUUUUAUUGAAGAAUGUGUGGUUGAAAUGAUGUCAAAUCAUUGUUGAAAAAUGUAUUUUGGUUGAAAAAUGGGGCUCAAACAAGGGCUUAAUUGAUGACUACAUUCAAGGAUCAUCAUCAAAAAAAGGACCAUGUCCUUCAUCUUCUCAAAAUACUACCCUUUGUACUUUAUUCUUCAAAAAGCCCACCCAAACCGAAAAUACUCCAUCAUAGACAAAACCUUCAAAAAUUAAAACAAGCUGCUCAAGGUUCUGAAAAACUACAUCAAAUAAACCUUUCAAGUACCUUUCAAUAAUUUUUAAUAUCUGUGUAUAUUCCAAAUUUCGAAAAUUGGAAUAUACGCGGAUUUGAGAAAAUUUUGAAAGGUAUUUGGAGGGUUUAUUUGAGGUAGUUUUUCAAAACCUUGAACAUCUUGUUUAAAAUUUGAAGGUUUUGUUUGUUCUAGAGUAUUUUUAGUUUGAGUUGGCGUCUUGAAGACUAAAGUAAAAACGUUAAUAUUUUGAGUAUUUUGAGAAUAUGAAGAACAUCAUCCUUCUUUUCUUGAUGAUGAUCCUUGAAUGUAAUCAUAAAUUAAAAAUAAAGGAAUAGUAAUCUUUUUCAAUUACUUUUCUUUUGAAAUGGUUUCAGAGGAAGCCAUUGAAUUCUUAUCUUUCUUUGAAGUCUUACUCUUUUUCUUGAUAAAAUGUCUUCCCAAAUCAUCUACUAUUUUUUUGAAUAUUCUCACAACUCUCUCUUUUUUGUAGGAACUCUCUUGUGAGGAAGUCUGUAAGAACAUUUAAUGUUCCUUGUAUAUAUAUUAUUUCAAAAUCAAAAUAGGAAAACAUAGCCUUCCAUCUUGCAAUUAUUUGAUCUAAAACAAGAAUUUUGACAUCUAUUUCUAAAAUAUCUUUUGAAACUUUAUAAUCAGUUUUUAAUGAGAAUUUUUUUAUUAAUUUUAUCAUCUUGAAAUUUUGAAACACAUAAAACAAUAAAUAAAAUUUCCUUUUUAAUGGUAGAAUAAUUCUUUUGAGUGCCGAUUCACACUACACUAUGAAACCUAACCAACUAUUCUUGAUUUGAUUGGUUUAGAAUCUAUUUUAACACUUCACCAUACAAUGUGUUGAGAUGCUAGAAAUGCUAAUCUAAAUUUUUAGAAUAAAUUAGAACAUUAUCAAUAUGAACAAUAAUGAAAUUUUAAUAGAGAUUGAAAAAAUCAUUCAUAAUUUUUUGAAAUUCUGAAGAAGCACUUUUAAGUCCAAAAGGCAUAACAUUCCAUUCUUAUUGACCAAAUGGAAUAUAAAAGUAGUUUUGUACCUAUCUUUUUUUUUUAAUUUGAAUCUGCCAACGGCCAGAUUUCAUAUUAAAUAUGGAGAAGAUAGUGGCUUUGAGUAAAAAGUUAACAAAUCUUUCUUUUUGAGAUAAUGGAUAUCGAAUCUAUUGAAGAGCUUUAUUGAGGGGUUUGUAGUUGAUAAUGAGCCUUGGAGCAACUUGUUCAAUUUCGGCAAAAUUAUUGAAAUAGAAUACUGAGCAACUCCAAGGAGAUUUGCUAGGCCAAAUAAUUUUCUUUUAUAAUAAAUUAUUGAUUUUCUUGAUACAGAAAUCAAGUAAUUCUUUAUACAUUUGAAUAUGAUGAGAUUUUGUAGAAAUUGUUGACUCAUGAAAAUCAUGAAUAUAAAAAAGAGAAAUAAUAUGCUUCUUUCUAUUUCAGAAAGCAUUAGGAAUAGUCAAACAUAUUUCAUUUUCAAUUUAUUUUUGAAAAUUUGAAAUUUUUUCCUUUAAUUGAAGAGUUUUGCAAUUGUUUUUUAAUUAUUUGCAAUUUAAUUUCUUCUUUAAGAAAUUGUAUAUGAUUUUUCUUUAAAUUAAUGUUAUUGAUAAAUUUUCAAAUUAAAGCUUCUAUUAAAGAAUUAACAUCUUUAAGUGAAGGAUGAUUUUUAAAUUUAUAAAAUAUUUCUUGACCAAAAAUAUUUGUAUUAAGACCCUUUGAAUCUGCUUGAAAAGGAUAAAUUUUAAUAAUAAAGGGUGUACCAAUAAUUACUUCUUGAUCCAAGUCUUUUACUAAAUAAAAAAUAUUUUUUAAACAUAUAAUUGAAUUGCGAACAUGUGCUUUUGAAAGUUUAUAUUGAAUGUUGAGUUUUCUAUCACUAACACCAUAAAGACUCUCAAUAGUUUUUACAAAAUAUUUUUACGGAUAAAUCCUUUCCUAAUGCAAUUUUGAUCGGCUCCUGAAUCAAUUAGAACUCUAGAAGUAAAUUUGUAUUCUUUAUUGACUAUGAUAGUAAUUGUAGAAUACCACUUUUGAAGUUGAAUACAAUUGAUAACAUUGAUAUUUUCAUCAUCAGAUGUCUGAUGAUGAGAAGUAGGAGAAGUAUCCUCAUCUGAAGAAGAGGUCCCUUUGAAGAAAAUUUGUACUUCUGUUUGGAAUUAUAUUUUUGUUCUAACUAUUUAGUUUUCAAGAAUACUACUUCCAUACGAACAUCUUUCAUUUAAUGUUCAAGAGUUCAAAAUUUGAGGUUUCAUUAUAUUUAUUUCUAAUCUUAAAUCAAAACUGGAAAAUUUUGAAACAUUUUAGGAUUCAGUCUUAAACCUAUUUAAUAAACUCUGCAUAUUAAACAAUUCUACUGAUUUUGAAGAAAGAAAAGAAGAAAACUUUUCUUAAGUUGAGGAUUUUCAAUUUUCUCAACUAUUUCUUGAUUAAGUUCUUCUUCUUUUGUAAGAACAUUUAUGGUGUUACAACCACAAACUUCUUUAUCUUGGUUUGAAGAGGAAGAUGAUUUUGAACUAGUUUCAACGUUAGAAACUUCUUGAUGUUGAUAAACUUGUUCAAGAUUAUACUCAUAUUCUUCAACUGAGCUAGAAUUAAUUAAAUUGAGAAGUUCAAUUUGAAGAUUAUUAAUCUUUCCCUUCAUAGGACGUGUGUCUGAAUAGUGACCUAUUUGAUUAAACUUCCAACAGGUACCAUUAGAAGAUUUUGAAUUUUUAAAAUUCUUUUUCUUUGAAAAUUUUCUUUUUGAAAAUUUUGAAGGAUAAUAUUUUUGAAAAGAUUUUUUUUUUUUUGAAAAUAUCCUUUUUUUUUCUUUUCUUAUAUAAGAAGUAAUAUUUUUCUUUUUCAAUUUUGAAGAAGGGAGGAAUAAUUUUCUCAAAACCAUAUUAUUCACAGCACGAUCCAAGUUCAUUUUGACUUUCAAAUCCUUCUGAUUUCAUUUUGGUCUUAAGUUUGAGAUCAUUACAUGAUGCUAACUUUCCUUAUUGACGAAAUUAAUAAUUUCCCCAUAAGUUAGAAGAGCAUAUGGAAUGGUAUCAUUCAGUUGAAGUUUACUAACUCUUUUUGCAAAGUUUAGGAAGUCCAAAAAUAAACAUUUCUUUCCAAAAAGAUUGAUUGCAGUCGUCACGACUUAGGACUCUGGUCAUAAACAUAUCUUUAUACCAACGAAAAUCAUGAAGUUUUGGACAAGUAAGAUUCAUUUGAAUUUUAGAAGAUCUCUCAUGAAGUAAAUUAGGAGUUUCAAUGAGAUGUUUGAGAAUUGAAUAAAUAAGAGUAUUAAACAUAUCAGCGUUUCCUUGAGAAUCAUUGUAGUUAUUCUAUCUUCUGUGGUCAAAUAAUUAUUCCACCAAUUUUUUAAUUGUUCGUUGAAACGUUGGACUAAGUUUGAUAUAGAAUCAUAAGCAAAUCUACCUUUAUCAAUAUAAGCAGCAUAGCAAACUACCAUAUUUUCAGGGAAAUUAAUAAUUUGAUAUUCUAUCAUACCAUCGAGAUUCUAUUCAACUAGUUCAUCACUGGUAUAGGCAACUUGAUUCUUCUUUUCCUCAUAACACAUUUCAGGAUAAGAAGGACAAGAAUAAUAAUUUUGGAAGGUUUGAAUUUUGACUUCUCAAUUUAUUGAUAAAAUUUUUUUCAUUCUCAAUAAAUUGAUUUUCAAGAUUAUCAAUAUCAUCUAUCGUAUUAAAAUUUUUAGAGGGUGCCAAUUUUGAAAUUUGUUUUGCAAGUUCUUGUAAAGUACUGGAUUCAUUAGACAAAAUGUUUUUACCCAAUUUUGGAACAAAUUUUGACUCUAUAGGUUUGAAAAUAAGAGGCUGCCUUUCAUCUUUCUUAGAUGAAGAAACCUCAGAAUUAGAAUUAGCUUCUAUUCUGGAUAAUUGAGAACACAUAGAUUAAAUAACAAUAUUAGUAUAAUUGUUCUCAAAUUGAACAAUUUUGAUAUCUUUAGCUGUAGUCUCAGAUUCUUUUGAUCUGUCAGCUCAAAGUUGUUUGAUAGGAGAUACAAUUAUUUCAGUAUUUCCAUGGGAAACAACUAUUCUUGCAUCGAAGGAUGUUCAUAUUGAAAACUUUGACUCGAAGGAGUUCUCCAUGUCUUUUUAUUAACAUGGGUAUUUUGAAUAGAAUAUUUUAACAUUCUUUUGCCAAAAAUUUUGAAAUGUUCCCAUUCAUAAAAACUUAAAUUUUUAGGAAAAUCAUAAAAUUCAUCCCACAAAGAUUUGAUUUCUUCUUUUAAAAACAUUGAUCGAAUAGUUUUUCGAAAACAUUUGACUGAAGGAGUUUGACCAGUUUUAAAUCCAUUUUUUUUCUAUCUAUAGUAAAAGAAAUGACAUUACAUUGCUAAUCCAACCUUUCGGCAGGAUUUGGAAGCAUAUAAGAUAAAGUUGGUAAACCUGGCUCUUUUGAUUCAUCGUCUUUAUCAGAUGCGUAUUGAGUUUUUGGAAUAUUUGGAGUAAAAUUAAUUUCUUUUAAUUUGUUUGAAGAGGUUGAAAAUUUAGAAUUUUGACAAAAAAUUCUCAGAUCUAUUCCAAGAUCUAGAAGAAUAAGAUGUUUGAAGAUUAUUUGAAGAAGAACCUCUGUCAAAAAUAACUUUGACAUAUUCAUUAGGAAAUGAAAUAAUUUAAUCUGAGAUUGAUCUAGUGGGAACAAAAAUUGGAGUUUGAGCAUUCUCAAAAUUCCAUGCAAGUCUUCUGGAUUGAAGAUUCUAUGGUAUCCUGUAGAAUGAAGAGGAUUGACCUCCACAAGAAAACUUUCUUCAUAUUGAAUUGAGUGUUCAUAAGAUUAUAAUAUAUUCUAUAUAUUACAGCAAAUACUUUUGAACGAUCAUCCAUAUCAAGGUUUUUCGUUUAAAUAUGAAGAUUAAGAGCAUUCAAAAUAGCUCUAUCAUUUAAAUUGAUAGUAAAAUUUGGAUAACAAUUUGAAAAGAUUGGACCACUUUCUAAAUUUGAUUCUAAAAGAGAUAGUAAUGAAUUUUCAAAUUUAAGAAGUUUUUUUUUUUUUAAUCUCUGAGAGUUAAGAGAAUAUGAAUGUCUAAACCAAAUCGAAAUAAAGGCUUGACAGCAAUUUAAAUUAAUCUUACAUGAAGAUAUUUAAACUUCUUCCUUUCAAUUGAAAAAUGAUUUAUUUGAAGAUACUGAUGCUUAAUAGCAAUCAUUUGCUCAAGUGUUUUGAUAACAUAGUUUUGAUGAAAAUCAAACUUUCCUAUUUCAUAGAUAGAACUUUUGUAUACCUUUGGAAUAGUCCAGUUAUGUAAUUUUUUUAUUUUUUUUAAUUUUUGCAAUUUGAAGUUCAUAAGAAUUGAAUGUAUCUAAUGCAAAUGCAUGAUUUUGAUCUAUUUCUUCUUUAUCAUGAAUAUUGUUUGAAAUAUUUUCAAAUCUACUACUAGAUCUCCUAAACCAACUUAAAAACGAAAACAUAAUUAAAUGAAAAAUGAAAUUAUAAUGAAUUACUACUAUAGAUGCAAUGCUACAGAAUUGACUUACUCUUUGCAAAGACUACAAUGGGACCACCCUAACAUCUACCUCGCAACACGAGCUGACCAACGCUAUUCAGCAGACAUCCUUUCUUUCAUCAGCUUUUUCCUUGACACGGUAUGUAUAAUGAAUAAUCACUACAAUCUCACCUCACUAUCUUAUGGCUCUGAUACCAAAAUAGGCCAAGGGAUGCACACAAAUUUAUCAUUUACUUGUAGAAUUUUAAUUCUCCAGUAUAUAUUUAUUACGAUUCUUUUUGAAUUAUCAAGGUAAGUGUAGUCAUGAAAUGUAAGAAUCUUUUUCAUACUUUUAAAUUACAAAAUUCGAUUGAUGAAUAAAUAUGAAUUCUCUAUGUAUAAAUUUAAGGGAAUGGAGUUCAAAUUAUAGUCAUCUAAGUUCAGUUUUUAAUUCUCGUGUUUCCUUACACACUUUAAAAAUAUCUAAUUUUAAAUGUGAAAUACGAUUCAUUUUGGCUCAUUUAUUGGGAUUUUAUCUCAUUGUUUAUAAUUUUUUCCUUUUCAAGUAAUUAAGGUUCAAGGUAUUGGAGGUUGGAACUGACCGGUGGUGGUAUAAUAAAAAGGAGAUGACUUAUGAAAUUUGAACAAUUUGCUCAAUUACUUUUAUGAUUAAAUAAUUGAUUUCAGUUAUUGUAAUCUUGGGAAAAAUUAUGCUUUUUUAUGAAAUUUUUUAUUUUACAAUAUUUGCUUAAUGACUCCAAGGGAAAGUUUUGGAUUGUUCCAGCUAUUGCCAAAAGUAUAUGUCUCUCAUCCCAUUUUUACAAGAAUUGAAGAAAUACAAGCUAGACCAACAAAUACGAAAAGUUUUUGCAUGUACAUAAGAAGCUCUACAUUAAUAUCCAUUAAUCAAAGUGAUACGACAGAUUCUGGUUGUGCAAAUUUUUUAAAGGAUAUGUUAUCUAAGAAAGAUAAAGCUUUCCAAAUUUGAUAUUGUGCAGCUAACUGAGGAGAGUAUUGUAAGAUUGCAAACAAACUAUCUCCCAAAAAAAGAUCUAUGGAGUUUUUCUUUAUCAGUUUUAAUUGGAAAAGCUUGAUUUGUUACUGCUUUAUAUGAUACAUGUGCUAGUAUUAACUUCAUGAAAGUAUACAUAAAUUUUGAAUUAGGAGAAGUUAAAGCAACAACAAUUGUCACUGGAGCUAGUUGAUAAAACCAUCAAAUAUAUUUCGGGAUAAGGUUGAAAAUGAGCUCAACGGACAACAAAGUUCACAUUCCGAGUGGAUUUUAUAAUACUCGACAUAGAAGAUGAUCAUGAUAUUGCUGUGAUCUUGAAUCCUCCAUUAGUCAACAUGAGGAAAUUUGAGCUGAUCUUGAUUGUGGAUGAUGUACAAGAAGUAUUUAAUAUACACACUUAUUCAACCUCUGGGAUUGUUGUAGUAACAUACAUACUUAUUCAACCUCAAGGAUUGUUGUAGUGUUCAUAAAGAUGAUUCACCUUAACAACGAAUUUGUCCUUAUAGAAGAGGAAGUGAUGGAAUUGUUGGUACUCUCAAAUAUUAAAUCACUGAUUGAGCCCCAUUUUUCUGCCAAAAUGAAUUUUGAAACUAAAGUGAAGUCAAUGACCCAAUUGAGACAAAUUCAAGUUUAGUAACCCAAUUAAUAUGUUUCUGAAACCUCAGUGUCUGCAUAUGAAAAUUUUGGCCAUCAUUAGAUUUAAUUGUUCCAAUGGUCACUAUACUUAGGUCCAUAUAUUUGAUUGGCCACUAAAAUUUAAAAUAUCGAAUUUUAUCCACUAAACUUUGAAAAAUGUCGAGUUUUGUUCAUUGACCUUAGAUUCAGUUCUUUGAUUGAUCACUGAUGUUUAAAAUGUCUAGUUUUAACCACUGAACAUUGAAAAAUGUCGAGUUUUGAUCACUGAACUUAGGUUCAUGUUUUCGAUUGUUUACUGAAAUUUAAAAUGUAGUGUUUUGGCCAUUGAAUUUCAGAAUAUGUUGUAUGUUACUUACUAGCAUAAAUAUUGAAUUUUGAAAAAUAUCCAAUUUAUGGUGAUUAAUGUAAAAUAUUUUUCAAAAUUUAGUGAGUAAUGUAAAAUAUUUUUCAAAGUUCAGUGAGUAAUGUACAAUUUUUUUCAAAGUUCAGUGGUCAAAAUUCGAUAUUUUUAAACUUCAACGAGCAAUUAAAGAUAUGGACAUAAAUUCAAUGAUCAAAACUCGAUAUUUUUCAAAGUUCAGUAGUCAAAACUUGAUAUUUAAAACUCAAUUGUCAAUCAAACACAUGGACGUAAGUUGAGUGACCAUUCUAACAAUUAACUCCAUCGUUACUUGAACAAGAAGACAUAAAGCGAUUCUUAAGAUCCUCUAUCCCACGAGCACACACGCAUUAUCGCGCAGAAAAACACAAUUUCAGUGAAUUAUUGGAGAUGGCGACGCCGAUGGUAGAAGAUAGCAACUUCGAGGAUGAUCAGCUCUCUUCAAUGUCCACGGAUGACAUUAUUCGGGCCUCCCGCCUCCUCGAUAACGAAAUCCGGAUCCUCAAGGUUUUAUUUAUUAUUAUUAUUAUUUUUUUUUAAGAAGUACGAUUGUGAUUGAUGAUAAGUAAAUGUUUGAUUUUACGAUGUUGAUUUGGUUGUUGUUAAUUGUGAUCUUUAUUUAGUAAAUUAUUUAUUAUUUUGUUUCUAUAGGAAGAGUCGCAGAGAACGACUAUGGAGUUAGAUUCAAUCAAGGACAAGAUAAAGGAAAAUCAAGAGAAAAUUAAGCUCAACAAGCAGCUUCCUUACUUGGUCGGGAAUAUUGUUGAGGUAUGUAAUGAAUUGGCUUUUUACUUCUCUUAAAGGGUUACUAAUUGGGUGUUUUACAUUCUACUGUUUUGAUUUGGGAAAAAUGAGAAUUCUCGUGAAUUUUGCUAGAUUUUGCUAUAUAUAGGGCAUUUCUAGGAUUCGAUUUUUUUUUACUGUUUUGUAGCUCUCAAUGAUUAGGGGAACUCGUAGAAAUUUAAGAUUUCAUUCGAGAAAGGGAAAAAUUCUGUUGCUUAUGGGUUUGACAUGUAAUGGUUCAUUUCAAAAUUGAGAUGGUGGCUGUAGAGCUUAUAAUGGGGGAAGGGGGUCUUCUGUUGUAGAGGGGUCUAUAUUGCUGGCAUGUACUAGAACACUUCGGGCCCGUGUGUAUUUAUUUAUAUCUUUCUAGCCUUUGCACUGAAUGGCAGGGAAGCACAACAUAAUGAUCUGAAUAAGUUGUGAGGAGAUGAUGGCCGACUUUAUGAGCAUUUAAAGAAAAUGAAAGCAGGUUAUUGUAGAAUAAUUUUUAUUACCUGAUGAAUUAGGUAUAGUAGGACUAGUUACUGAAUUGUCUUGUAUUUUUAUGAACCUGAGACAUUGCCAAUGGUUCCGAAUGAUUUGUAACAAACGUUAUGCCAUCUGCUUUCCUUGUAACUUAUGAUGCUUGAGACUUUAAAUGUAACUCCCUCUCUCUUUGCUUCCCUUGAAGAAACCAAAAAUAAAAUGUGGUCAUAUAAUACCAAAACAAAUCCUGGAAAAAGCAAAAUCAAAAUUUAGUGAUAGAGGGUUUUUCGACCACGUGUCUUCAUGGUUGCUUAUGUAUUUGGGUGAGUAGCGGAAUGCAAAAAUAAAAAAUAAAAAUAAAAUAAAAUCAUUGGAGGUAGGGAGGGAUUCACAACUUUUAAUAUGUGUAAUCAAGUCACAUGCUUAAGGACACUGUCAACAUUCUCAUGGCUGAGCAUGAGUGCAAUGCUACUCUAUCUGGUUUUGGCACAUUGAAUGCUAUUAUCAUAAUUAUUUUCCGGGUUUUGACUCACUUUGAAUGUCAGUACCCUCUACCUCUCUCUCCCUUUUCAAUUUUUCACACACCAAACUAACAAGGGAAAUAGUUCCAGGGGAAAAAGCUUGAAAGAAAUCUCUGAGUCAGAACAGUUAUGGAUUCCUCUACAAAGAUGUUAAGAGGUUCUUUGGAUUAAAGUAGCAGUGACUUUCAUGUUUAUGACCUAGUCGUUUUGGAUUUGGGGAUCCGCGAUUGCCUGGGAGCUGACUUUUUCAAGUCUAUGGACAUUUCAGGGCAGAGGGUACACAAUAAGGAGACAAGAAAAAGAAUGAGUGCAUGAGAGAGAGAGAGAGAGAGAGAGAGAGUCCAUACUUCAUCGUAUUUUUUGGUGUCAACUGAUUGUUGUGUACCUUGAGUUUUUGACUAUUGGGACUUAGUUUAGUCAUUUAAAAUAAAAGCAGAUCCAUCAGUAAUUAGAUAACAGAAACUUUUAAAAGUUCACUUAUGGAGACGGGACUUUGCUUUGGGGUUGCUAUGAAGGAUUUUUUUUUUUUUUUUAUAAUUAUUAUUAUUAUUAUUAUUAUUAUUAUUAUUAUUAUUAUUAUUAUUAUUUAUUUAUUUAUUUAUUUGGAGGGACCACUGGAUUGCUGGUAAUACAGGGCAUUUCAUUAAUAUUCCAAAAUGUGGAUAAGAAGUGAUUUUAUUCUACUUGUCUAAAGAAACCUAGUUCUUUAGGCAUGAUGAGGCUUACUUGAGUUAUUUCCCCCAAAAAAUAAUAAUAUAAAUUAUUUCUCCAAAUAAUAAAUAAAUAAAUCAGGAAAAGAACAUUAUUUUUGUACUUGAGGGGAAUUGAAGCUCUUCUAUCAUUCAUAUUCACAGGCUUUUGGCCGACAAGAAUGCUGUAGUCUUUGAAUUGUAGAAAAAUCACAUGUGUACUGCUAUAUUGCAUACGACAAUAUUCUUCUGAAGUUUGCUUUCUAUGUCUCUAUUUAGUUUAGUUUAAGCUGGAUGUAUGUUAGUUGUCUUGCUUCGAAGUUCAAGUAAUGCACUUUAUUUGGUCCCCAUAAUAAGUUUAUUGGUGACUUCUACAGUACUUUGAAGUUGGUAACAAUUCAAGUAUUGUUCAUUUAAUAUUCUUAUAAUCUUGAUUUGUAAAAUUUUCAGAUAUUGGAAAUGAACCCUGAGGAUGAGGCUGAGGAAGAUGGUGCAAAUAUUGAUCUUGACUCACAAAGGAAGGGUAAAUGUGUUGUGCUAAAAACAUCUACUCGUCAGGUAAAACUAGCUUCUCUUCAUGUGGCUCUCUUUCUUUGUCUUUUCCAACCCUUCCUUGGUCUACGUUUUAUGUUCCCAAGAUUCAUUUCCUUUCUUCCCCCUUUUGGUUUGUUUAUUUUAAGAAAGCAGGCUAUGGGGUUGUUUGAUUAUUAAAUGACAGUCAGUUAUUUCAUAAAUUUUUGAAUAUCUACUUCUGUUAAAACCUUGAUACAUCACAUUCAUGUUCUGUGUAUGAGGCAACCCCCUACUCUUUUUUUAUCUGUUCUUAUGAGCUCCACAAGUCUCGUUGUAUCAUGUAAAACGAUUGAACGUCUUGUUUCUAUAUUCUUUGAUGGUUGCAGACUAUUUUCCUGCCUGUGGUGGGUCUUGUUGACCCUGAUCAAUUGAAGCCUGGUGACUUAGUCGGAGUAAACAAAGAUAGUUACUUGAUCUUGGAUACUUUGCCUUCUGAGUAUGAUUCUCGAGUUAAGGCUAUGGAGGUUGAUGAGAAACCAACUGAAGACUAUAAUGACAUUGGAGGCCUAGAGAAACAGGUAAUUAUCCUUUGAAUCAUUUGAUAUUGAAAGGUUAUCCUCAAUUUAUCAUCAUAUUUUUUACUGUUAUUCUGGAUUUUUGUUCUUGAUGUGACAGAUUCAAGAACUAGUUGAGGCUAUUGUGUUGCCUAUGACACACCAAGAACGAUUUCAAAAAUUAGGAGUUCGUCCCCCAAAAGGUGUUCUUUUGUAUGGGCCACCUGGAACAGGGAAAACCCUGAUGGCCCGUGCAUGUGCUGCGCAAACAAAUGCUACUUUUCUUAAGCUGGCAGGUCCGCAGCUUGUACAGGUAUAAUAUUUUAAAAAUUCUUUAUUAUUUUUCCUGAUGAACUGUGCUGAUAGCUAGUAGGAGUUAGAGAUCUAAUUCUUGAAGCUUUGUUUAUUUGUCAUUUGACAUAUUGGAAGGGCCCUCUAUUAACUUUUAGAAUAGGAGAUUUUUGUCAGGUCUUUCUUUCAAGCAGUGUGUUGAUUACUGGCUUUAAAAAACUUAAGGUCAUUUUCCAAAUCUGAUGAUAUUGCACCAACGGGUUAUACGAAUAACAUGAAAUUGGAAUCACAUUUUGAAUUCUCCUCCACUUCUCUAAUGUAGACAUGCACUUCAAUGCAUCGAAACUAUGACACAGUUUAGUUGAUUUGGCACAUCAUUAACCUUAUUAUAUGGAUUUAGAUGUUCAUUGGAGAUGGAGCAAAACUUGUUCGUGAUGCUUUUCAACUUGCAAAAGAAAAAUCUCCUUGCAUCAUAUUUAUUGAUGAGAUUGAUGCUAUUGGCACAAAGCGAUUUGACAGGUGAGAGUUUUCUCUUGAAUGUAGUUUAGUGUAUUUCAAUAGGUUGGAAAUCUUGUGAAUUGAUGUUCUUGAUGGUUUUGAGGCAUGUGCCAUGGCAAUAUUGUUUCUUACAAGACAAAAUUUUAUUUAUACAGUGAAGUUAGUGGGGACAGAGAGGUGCAGCGGACUAUGCUAGAGCUGCUCAAUCAGUUGGAUGGUUUUAGCAGUGAUGAUCAGAUAAAGGUUCAUUCUCUCUCAUUAUUUUCCUUCUCAGUUUUUUAUUGAUGAUAUAUGAUUCUGUCUUCUGCAUCCUCUGAAUUCUUUGGAACUAUUUGCUCUACACAAGUGGGAUGCAUUCUAUGCUAUAUUUUUAACAAUCAGUGGAUGUGAUGCACUUUCCAUGUUCAAAUUCUCUGUUAAUAUUCAAGCACAUCGAAAUAAAAUAAAAUAAAAGCCUGCCAUUCAAUUUUUACAAUUUCUGUAAUGUGCUUGGUGAUUAUCUGAAUCUACCUUUUCUCAUUUUUAGGUGAUAGCGGCAACAAAUCGAGCGGAUAUCCUAGACCCUGCCUUAAUGAGGUCUGGUCGCUUAGAUCGUAAAAUUGAGUUUCCCCAUCCUACCGAGGAAGCUCGGGCUAGGAUCUUGCAGGUAUCUUUUCUCAAUUAUUUUUUAAUUUAAUUUCCUUAAGAGGUUUGGAUGGGACCAUGGGGCUGUGAUCAUAUUGCUUCUAUAUCAUUACCUCGUACCACGACUGUUCAUUAUCGUUACAAGGGUACCCUUUAUUACUACCAUUACUGACUUCAUCCUUCUUUUGUUGCGUCUUUUAACAGAUUCAUUCCAGAAAGAUGAAUGUUCAUCCAGAUGUCAAUUUUGAGGAGCUUGCCCGUUCAACAGAUGACUUCAAUGGGGCACAACUGAAAGCUGUUUGUGUGGAAGCAGGCAUGCUAGCACUCCGACGGGAUGCCACUGAGGUCUCUCUCUCUCUCUCUAUACGAAAUUGGUAUAAUGAUCAUCAGUUUCUGGCUUUGAUAACCAAAAAUGUAGAAGUGACGUCUAAAAAAAUUAAGAUAGAAAAGAUACUAUGAACCUUUAGUGGGGUCUUUUUUUCCUUUAUAUUUGUCUUGCGUUUGUGUUUGGGGAUGUUGUGUGUGUGGGUUGGGGGGGGGGGGGGGGGGGGGGAGAGAGAUGAAGUAACAUUUCUUAUCCCAGUGAUCAAAAAGUACCCAUCCUAGCUUUGUUAUAUAUUUUUCUUUAGGUAUAUUGAUGUCCCCCCUAUAAUGGACUUCUGAGAUACUAUGAACAAAAUUUGUAUACUUUUACGUCAAAGAAACUAUGAACUUCUAGUGGGGUUUUUUUUUUCCUUUAUAUUUGUCUUGCGUUUGUGUUUGGGGAUGUUGUGUGUGUGGGUUGGGGGGGGAGGGGGGGAGAAGAGAGAGAUGAAGUAACAUUUCUUAUCCCAGUGAUCACAAAGUACCCAUCCUAGCUUUGUUAUAUAUUUUUCUUUAGGUAUAUUGAUGUAUAUUAUGGUUUUGCUUUACUGUAAAUCUCUCACGAAACGAGAAGAAUCAAAUCCAUUCAAAUUGAUACGGAAUUCUAGUGCAAUUCACUUUUAUUAAGGUCCCUUAGUCUAGAAAUGGUCUGAUGAGAACUUCAUGUGGGACAAAAUGCGUGCAAGACUCUGAGUGAACUGUGUUUAAGAAAAUAUAUUAACAGAGAACAAGUGCUAUAUCAUCUUCUCUUCCCUUUUAGAUAAAAUUGUACAAGGAUAUUUACACAUGACUUGUUUUUCCCAGGUAAACCAUGAAGAUUUUAAUGAAGGUAUUAUCCAAGUUCAAGCAAAAAAGAAAGCGAGCUUGAACUACUAUGCAUAGGAUUUUACUUGGCCUCGAGGUUCAAAGUUGAGAGACAAAAUAACUAUUGGUAAGAAGCGUCAAACUGCAAAUGCACUGCUUUGUAGAUUCCCAAUUGUUCGGAAGUUAAACUGGGAGGCUUUCUACCCCAUUCUCCUGCACCAUAUACUAUCCCUGCUUCCGUUUUCCCCGAAAAGGAAAAUAUUAAAAAACAGAGAAUUCAGAAGUUUCAGUAGGCCGACUACAUUUUAGUUUACUUGAUUCCGUCUGCAUCACGUUUAGCUUAAAUGUACUUGUGGUUUUUUAUGUGAGCUUUCCAGGAAAUGAAGAACUAUGUUAAACUAUUGGAACACUGAAAAUGGAAUUUGUCAUGUGUUUUACGGUUUAUUUUCCUGUGGAAAGUAUGCUUUGUUUUACAUUAACGAAGAGAAUUCUCUCCUGUUAUAUUGGAGUUCUUUCUAAAAUAUAUCAUCUGUUCAGAUUCCUUUAGAAUCAUUGGUAGCAUUAGUUGGUAAUCUUUGGUACUUUAUCAUCUAAACUGAAGUGGCCUUUGAAGGGGAAAAAAAUAAAAUAAAAUAAAACUUCAUAUCUUUGGCUCUAGUAUUUAAAUUUGAACAUUUAAAUCCUUGGCAUUUCAAUUUUGUUGCAUUAUUAGUACAAUUGGUGGUUCGGAUAUAUGGUGCUUUUGUUGAGGAAGGGUAACAUGGGGUGGUGGUCAGCUCCCGGUUGGAUGUGGGUCUUUUUGAUCUAUAUUAUCAAAGUAAUGCUAUUCAGUGCGACUAAUGUCAAAUAUCAAUUUAGGUGAUUACUACAGGAUAUUAAAUGAUAGAUUUAUUUAAAUGCAAUGUCUCAAAAUUAUUUUAAUUGAACGUAUAAAGUGUGGUCACCUAAACUAGUAUUAGAUAGCAUUAUUCUUAUUAUUUUGAUAUUUUCUUUUUAUUUCAUUUUUUGAAUUAAGUGUUGGUUUACCUGGCUUAUCGGUUAUAAAAUCAGACAUACAAGCCACAUGAAAUUCAAUGGAAAAGAGACUAAUACCGUAAUAAGGUAAUAGGUUGAUGGACCAAAUGUCUAGAUUCAAAGGUUGGAUCCUACGUUGCUGAAAUUGCAGAAAUUUGAGGACUAUUGCUGCAUUUUUUUACCCAUAAAUUAGGUUGCAAGUUUUGCCAAAGUGAAUUGUUAUGAUUUGUCGAUAACAAUAAAGGAAUACUUAUUCUUUUUUAACCGUUUUUUAUGCAGAAUGGUUACAUGGUCUAACGUAUUGUGUUCAAAUUUCGUUAUUACUCAUUUAGAAAAGCGUUAAAGGGGGUCGUGUAACAUGGAUUGACUUUGAAGUGGAUGUGACUAUGAAUAAAAAGUACGUUCUUGAUGUGAAAAAUUAUUUAUAAUAAGGGUAAAAUAUAAAUUUUACAAGUUCCCGAAUGAGUAUAAUUUUUGAGGAAAAAAAUUAAUAAAAAAAUAAACAAACUCAGUACUAGUUACCUAAAUCCAAACAAUUUCUGAAGUAUUCAUUAAUGUCUCUAAAAUUUCCGUUUAGGACUUGGGCUCCUUCAAACCACAUGCAAAGUAGAGAAAAGUCGGAUCAGCGGCAUCUUCUUUGUAACCUGAAGCCUGAAAGUGUCGACAAUGUCAACAACCUAAAUUAGCUUGAUCAUCUACACCUUUGUCAUCACCCGCACCUUCAGCAGAAGGAUUUGCCCCCGUGUCCACAUCGACUGCUCGUUGAACAGCCCACUAUAACCACGCAACAUAAUAAGAAUGAUAAACACAAGCACCCAAGGCACAUCUCCAAGUGGUAAAAGGGGAGGGUGGAGAAAUCUAGCUUUACUUGAGGCUGUUGCGUCAAGAGUUCGAAUCUUGAAAUAUGGAUUUGGCUCUUGGGUAAGUGCAAGUGUACAAGCAGCCUUCCACCCUGUACUCUUGGAGGCAUAAUCUGCGAUUUACCUCCCUCACGAUACUCCAGAGCAGGGGUGGUGGGGGAUCCUUAAGGUUAGGGUUUAACCCUUUUUUUUUUUUUUUUUUUUUUUUUUUUUUUUUUUUUUUAAAAAAAAAAAAAAAAAAAAAAAAAAAAAAAAAAAAAAAAAAAAAAAAAAAAAAAAAAAAAAAAAAUUUUUUUUUUUUUUUUUUUNNNNNNNNNNNNNNNNNNNNNNNNNNNNNNNNNNNNNNNNNNNNNNNNUAUAUAUAUAUAUAUAUAUAUAUAUAUAUAUAUAUAUAUGUUGGAAUAGGAGGAGAGAAUUAUAACAGUUGUAUAUAUAGGAGACAUAAGGAAUUUCGAAGCGAUUCGGAUUAGGCACUAAUGUAAGGCCCCGAAAAUUUUCAUAGAACAUAAUUCAUUAUUUUAUAUGUUAUAUUUUUUAUAUUUUGAAAAGGUGGGGUCGAAUGGGUUAUAUACGUUAAAAUUUCAAUUUUAUUUGAGUCAAAUAUUUGGAUAUUGAGGAGCAAUACUAAGUAUGUGAAUAUGGGGCUCGUUAGAUAAAUCGUAAUUAAUCAUGCAUAUUAGGCUACAAAAAAAGUCAAUUCGAAUAAGCGAAGCUCAAGUUAUUGAGUUCAAAAGAUAUUGCCUUAAAUUGUAUUUUAGUUGACUUAGUUAAUGAAUUUAGAAGCUAAGGGUGACAUAUGAAUUUAGAAUCUAAGGGUGACACUUCUAGAGCACGUUUUGGUAAGUUAUUAAUUGAUUUUUUUUAGUAAAUAAAGAUUGUGUAUUUAAAAAAGAAAAAAUAAAAAAGAGAGAGUUUUAUUGUUGAAGAGGUUGUCAAUUAGUUUUAUUUUAUUAUUCUUAUAUUUUGGUGUAAAAUUUCCUAGCAUACAACGUGUCCGAUAAAGUUGUUGGUUGAGAUAUUUCAUUUUACAUGAUAAAGACGUGUGCUUGAAACAUGGCAUAGUUCUACACGAAGUCCAAUACCUUUAUCCCCCUUUGUAUAGAGUUUUGUUAUCUAAAAUAACUUAUGAAGGCAAUAAUUUUUUUUAUAGCGCAUGUGUAUGCAUAAACAAGGCAGAGGCAAAAAAAACUAAGUGAAUGUGAUUUUUAUAAUAUUGUCUUCCAAAAAAAAAAUUGCAGCAAUUUAACAAGGUAGGAUAAUGAGUUGCAGUUGUUUUUGUCAAAUUAUUAUACUUAUAAAGUUAAAGAUAUUAUACGAAAUGUACGAUAUAACUAUUUAGUACCAAAGAUAUGAUAUGUAUUGAACUCUUACUAAUUUCUAAAGAUGUGAUGAUAGUAUGAUAUUUGGACACAUGAUUUAAAUAAUUUCAUUUGGGAUUACACCAUUAUUUUCGUGUCCUAUGAGUAAUCGCAUGUACACCCUUUUCCCCUACUCUCACAGAUUAGAAGGGAUCGUGCUGGACCAUGGCGAUUUGAUGGUGUGAUUGUGCCUUGUUUUGCUAAAGAAAAUCUAAAAAUUUAACACGUAACUUUGUUUCUUUUAACUUUAAUUGCAAUAAACAUUAUUCAUAUUUAAAUUCUCAUACAUGUUUAUUUGAAUAUGAAUAUGUUUAGAUUGCACUUUUGAUCAAAAGAUUGAAUUUAAUUGUUUAAUGUAAUGGUUUUAUUGUCUUUUCCCCAUUUCCAUUUUUAAAUUAAUUGUUUAGUUGGUUUUCAAACACGUUAAAUUACAAUUGUUUAUUUCUAGUAAAUUUGGAUUUCAAAGAAUGUGCGAGUUAGUAGUUAAAAUUGGUUAAUUAUAUAAAAUAUGUGGAUGAAAAUAAAAUUUUACCAUUGUAUAAAUAAAUUUGGUAGCGAUUUAAAUUUUUAAAAUUUGGAUCAUUAUACAUUGAUAUCAGAGCUUAGAUUUUACUUUUUUGUAGGCUCAUAAAUUCUAAAAGUUCAAACGAAUUGUGUAACAAAAAAUGAAAAAGAAAAAAAAUCUCCAUGCACGUCACUGUUCAUCGUGAACAGUGACAUCGUGAACACUGCAUGUCAAUGUUCACGCGAACAAUUUAAAAAUUCAGAAAAAAUAAUAAUAGUAAAAUAUAUUUUAAAUGAUUGUUCAUAUAUUGUCUAUUUUAAGUUCUUAAAUAGGUAAACAUUUGGAAGAUCUUUGGCACUCAAUGAAUAUAUAUAUUGCAUAACUUAAUCUUUUAAAUUGCCUACUUUUAAAUUUUUAAGACAUAUACAUUUUCUUGUUAAAUUCAUGAUAUGUAUUAUUAUAAUAUAGGUAUAACAUUUUAGGCUUAAUAUUGGUACAUGACUUAAUAUUAAUUUUUAGGAAAUGGUACCACCUACCCAUACGAAUUUGAUGCGUGACUUAUUGUGAACAGUACGAGAGUUUAGCAGGUAGAAUCAAGUACCUCUACUACAAAAUGCACCACCACAGCAAAACAUACCUCCAUUUGUCCCUAGAGCUGUUUCAGUGGUUGAGCAAUUUUGUAGGUACAGGCCUCUUAUUUUCAACGGUGUUUUUGACCUACUGGUUGUUUAAAAAUGGAUUAGAGGUCUGAAGUGUAUCUUUCGAUACAUUGCUUGUACUGAUGCACACAAUGUAAUAUGCACAAAAUUUAUGUUUGUUGAAGCAAUUAAUCAUAGGUGGGAGUUUGUCUCAUGCACUAAGACCAAAGAGCUACAGCGUAACUUGACUUAGGAGUAGCUUAAGGAUGAAAUGAUGGCGAAGUACUUUUCACAGGCUUUAAGAGACUUCAAGGAACCAAAGUUUCUACAACUCAAACAAGGAAACUUAUUGCUUACUGAUUACAAGAGGCAAUUUGAGCAGCUCUCAAAGUAUGCCCCGCACUAGAUAGAUACAAUAGUUAAGAAGAUCUGGAGGUUCGAAAAUAGACUACGCCCAGAUAUUGGCAUGAUCAUCAUGUCUCAUCAUUUCACUUCAUAUCAUGAAACGCUAGAGAGAGAUCAUGUUGUUUCAUAUUAGAGGACUACCUUUGAACAGUAUGUCUAGUAGGGCAAUGAGUCAUUGGGAAAAAGAAAGUGAAACGAUUAAAGUAAGGAUAAGCGUAACUGGAAGAAUAAAAGACCAAACACAAGAGUUCAUAUCAGUGGGACGAGUGUGUGUAUUACACCUUGUUCUAAGUGUAAUAAAAUCCACAACGGUGAAUGCUUACUUAGGAAAAACAUGUGUUUUAGGUGUAGCAAGUCGGGAUACAUUGCUCUUAACGAUAUAGAGCCUCUAAAGAAAAAGAAUGAUGAUCAGGACAAGAACAAGAAAGGGAAUGUCCGUCUUUUUGCAAUAAAUCAACAUGAGGAGGAACAGGAUUCAAAUGUGAUAGCAUGCAUUUUAUUAUUAUUUGAAGUACCUGUUUAUGUUCUUGAUUUUGUAUCCUUUAUCGCUAAGUCUAACAAGAUAAUUACGAAAUAGGUACUCUAUUAUUAUCUGAUGUAUCUACUCAUGUAUUUAUUGACUCUGGGGCUACAAAUUAUUUUAUCUCUACAUCCUUCGUCCCUAGGUUUAACUUUACAUGUGAGAAAAUGAAUAAUGAAUUAGAGGUUAGAAUCCCUUCAACAUGAACUCUUAGUACAAAUAAGAUGACUAAAACUAUGAAGUUAGAGAUUGAUGGAAAAAUACUUUAGGUGGACUUAUACAUUUUGGUGAUGAAGGACUUCGACGUUAUUAUAGGCAUGGAAUGGUUGGGACUCAAUCAUGCGAACAUUUGAUGUCACAAGAAAUAAGUGUUAUUUUAUAGAUCGAGAGAGGAAGAGUUCCAUUUUUUGGAGCAAAGUUCAAGUCUCUACCUUGCCUUGUGUCGGCUUUACAAGUGGAGAAGAUGUUGAGAAAGGAGUCAUGCCAAGGUUCUUAGUUAAUAUCAUCGGUUCCAAACAUACAAAAAUGAUAUUAACGUUGAGCAAGACUUUGCAACCGUAUUUUCAGAAGAUCUACUAGGCAUUCCACAAGAUAGGCAAGUGGAAUUUACAAUUGACUUUGAAAUACAAUACUAUUGUCCGAAAUAUUUAGGACAUUGACUACAAAUACAAUACUAUUGUUCGAAAUGUAAGUAAGCAAAAGGUUGUCUUUGAAAAUUUUAGGAUAUGUUUAUGAAAAAUGGAAUUGGGGACUUUAUCUGGAAAUACACUUGAUACAAUGUUUUCCACAAAACUAUUAACUAUUAAUUAGGUUCUUGCCAGUGAUAUUAUGAAUAACUAUUUUACAUGACGUUUAGGGAAUAUUAAAUAACUUUAAAUAAAUAUUCUCCACAUUUUGCAUCCUUCAUAUUCUAGCGACCUAAGUAUCUUUUAUUGUAAUGGCAAAAUUACAUACAUUUAGGAUUUGGUUCCUCCUUUGCUGUCCUAACAUUAACAUUAAAGUUUAGAGGUGUCAAAAUUUUAGUAGAUAUAUAAUAUAUUUACUUGAAUUUUAUUAAGACAUUGACGCUUAAAAACUGUAAUGAAGAAUCCAAUACCUUAAACAAAAUUGUAAAGGAAAAAAAUUUUAAUAGUGAGAUAGUCAAAUAGAUUGCAUGAUCAAACUUAGACUGCAAAUGUGGGCUCCUUCUCAAGUUGGUUGCCUUCUCAACAAAGAUCUCAUGAAUAUUCACUAGAAGCUAAUUUCGAUUAUUUUGAAUUGAUAAGCUAAUUUCAUUUAUUUAGUUUACUUUUUAAUCGUUAUACCUUAUUUUGAUUUAUUUGAGCAUGUUUAUAUACAUUUUUACAAAUUAUUGGACAAAUCUAUAAAUUUUACGAGUAAAGAAGGGAGAAAAAUUCAUCCGGAUAGUAUAGCCGUCCAUUUUUUUUAAAUAAAAUGUAAAUAAGGAAUCAACACUUAUCCCAAUCUUGUACUUCGAUAAAUUUCAAAGAAAUGAAAAUAAUUGAUGGUUAUGAAAAUGAACGAGUGAUGAAAAAGUGUUUCUACAAUUUUUUUAAUAUUGGCUACAUCAUAUAUGGACAUCUAUCGUAAUUUACAAAACCUCCUCAAUGUUGCUCGCUCUGAAUAUGAUAUGGACUUGAGAUUUAUAUUUCUCAAUCAUUCAAAUAUUUUGGUUCCAUGGGUAAAGAUUACUUCUGAGGUGUAUUUGAGGUGACUAAUUCAACUCAACAAAGAUCUUAGUUCUACUCUCUGCAUGACCCAGCAAUGAGCACAAAGCGUCUAAUGAAUUAGGUCAUAAUGGGGAUGAUUUUCGAGACGCGGAGAAGAUAGCUCAGGAGGAUGUAGUUAUUCUAGAGAUAGUUGCUACACAUCAUAAUCUCACGGUUACGUAUAAACCUCCCGAGGCAUUUCAAAAUAAUGGGAAGAACAUUUCAUUUAAAAGCCAAUAUCUAAUUGAUUAAUCUGGUUGAGACUCAAUUUAUGUGGGAACUCACAGGCUGGGCCUCUUAUAAGAUUCUCACGUGUGGAUUCCGAUUAUGAAGAUUUGUAGAUUGACCAACUAUUUGACAGCAAGAGGGAUGUACAUGAAGUUGUGUACAUGGUAGCAUUAAAACACAACUUCGAUUUCAAAGUAAAGAAAUCAAAUAGGAAUACCUACCCAAUUAUUUGUGUAAACGACGAUUGCAAUUUGCGUUUGUGAGCAACGAAGUUUGACAUAACUGAUUUUUUUGUAGUUCACAAGUAUUCAUGAGAACAUGCUUACCAAAUGGGUAAUCACUGCAAAGAUCAUAGACAAGAAAGAUCACGAUUUAUUGGCAAACAUAAAAUGCACAAGUUUCAGGAUCCAAGGACAAUUCACAAACCUGCAGACAUCAUUAACGAUAUCUGUUCAGAGUAGGGAAUAGUCAUGAUAACAAACUUGGAAGGCAAAAAGAUGUGCGUUAGAAGAUUAGAUGGGUUCACCUAAUAAGAGUCAUGCUAAAAUGGUAUAGUAUUUAUGGGAAGAACUAAUCAUGGCUUGACGUUCUUUUAUUGAUAUUGUUGAUGACAACCAUUUCAUAUAUGUCUUCAUAGCUCUUGGAUAAUGCAUUUAGAGAUUUCUUAAUUCAAUGGGACUCCUAAUUCUAGUCGACGACACAGCCUCAAAAGUUAGAUACAAAGGCAAGUUGGUUAUUGUUACAUGUCGUAAUGCAAAUAUUCAAAUUUAUCAUCUUGCAUUCGACAUGGUCAAUAGCGAGAAUGAUCGAUCAAUAUAUUGGUUCUUUAUAAAGCUAAGAGAAGUAAUUUGAGACGUUGAAAAUCUUAUAUUUAUAACUGAUCAGGGUCAAGUUAUAAUAAAUAAUAUUGCUUAUGUUUGUCUUGAUGCACAUCAUGGUUACUACAUGUACCGUAGACAAUGCAACUUGAAGACCAAGUAUCGGGCUCUUGGGAUCAUGUCGUUGUUUAGAAAAGUUGCAGACGCAUACACUCUUGAGGAGUAUAAUGAAUACAUGAGCGAAAAGAUAGUAAAUCACAUGAUUUAUGAGUAUUUAACAAAGUAACUAGAAAUAGAACAUUGGGCACGAUCACAUUUUAAAAGAAUUUAGUAUAAUAUGAUGACGUCAAACAAUGUGAGUGUAACACUUAAAAUUUUCGUAAAUCUUGAAAUGUUACAAAAAAAAAAAAAAAAAAAAAAAAAAAAAAAAAAAACCACUUGUCUUUGUAUAAUGCGGAACUAUAAAAAUAAAUUUUUUUAUAAAAAAAUAACUAGAAUAUUCACAGAUUUAAAUUAAUACAUGGAAAUUGUAUCUUAAAAAAAUAAUCACCUUGUUAAUUAAAUAACAUGUCUUUGAACAAACUAAACUAAUAAAUUGAAAGAUAGAAAGUUUAAUUCUUUUCUUUUUCGAAUUGUCUUUCCAGUUCGCAUCACUAUCUCGCUACAAUUCCGAUCGACUCAAACUAAUCUAAAAAAUUAUUGUAAGAGUGAUUAUUUAAAAUUUUCCAGUAAAAUACAUGCAGUUUCCAUAAACAUUUAUAAACAAUAAAAUCCACACUUCUCUUAUGGAGUAUAUCGGUAAUCAAGCGACACACUAAUCUUACGUCCUCCUAAAUUCUCAAAGGAUUUCAUCUCUUUUUAAAGAACCCGAAUGUCCAUACCAUUCAUGCAUAAAUUACUGAACAUACAUGUAUACGAAAACAAACCACUUGUACAAAAGUAUUUUACCUUGUUAUUGAAGGAUUGUAAAAAGAAAAUAAAAUAUUGCACACGAAAAUUCUCAUAUUAUUUUUUUAUACUUUCCGCUCAUUCCCCCCUCCCCCUCUCUCUCUCUACUAUGGCUCUCUCUUUAUUUUCUGUGAUAAAAUAAUGAGAAUUUUUGUAGUAUUUAUAGUAAAAAUUCUAAAUUGAGGUUGUAUGCAACUAGAAUUGACAAAAUAGUGUAAGCAAGGAAUUUGAAUAAAGAAUUGGUUUCAAAUAAUAGAAUUUGAAUUGUAUUCAAAUAAUGUUUUCAUAUCAAAUAAAAAUCGAGUGGGGGUAGGAAUUAAAAAAGGAAAAGAAUUUUACUUAAUUAAUAUUACAAGCCUCCACCAACUUUAUUAACCUAUUAUUCUUUUAAUCGGAAUUAAUUUGAUAAAGUAUAAUCUAAAAUGACUUUUUCUCGUGUUGAAAACUUGUAAUUAAGUACGAGCUACAAAAAAGAGUCCAAUAAUGAUACACUUAUUUUUUCCUCUAUUAAAAUCUAAUUAUUUGGCCAAAAUAAAAUUAAAAUUAAACAAUUUCACUUUAGUCCCUUAACUUUCGAAAUAUAAAGAUAUAGCAUAUAGAACAAAUAAAAUUUACUUUGCAAAAUUUUCGUAGCAUUACAAUCUCCCCUCUUUAAAAGAAUUUCGUCAUCGAAAUUGCCUCGAUUAGUUGAAAAGUUCUGGAUUCUGGACUUUGACUUACUUCUAAUAGUACAUAACAUGAAACAAGAAAACUCAUAAUCAUGUUAAAAGAAUGAUAUUUCAUUUCAUACCUUAGAUCCAUCGAAGAGUGAUCGAACAGUGAGCAUAGCAUGCCAAGAAUUCUUUAACUCAUUACAUAUUUAAGACUUUAAAAAUUUUCCAUUAUCCUUGAAAUCCUAAUGUUUGUGAAAAACAUUAUUUUUAUUAUUUUUUAUUGUUCUUAUUUUUUUAGAAUUUUUUAAAAUAGGAUUUACUCAAAAUAGAAGUUUCUAAAAAUAGAUUUUUCUUAAAUUUGAAAUGAUUUGAAAUAUUAUUUUUUGUCUUGUUAAUUUGAAUAAUGCACAACAAAAAGCUUCCAGAUGGGAAGGGAGGUCAUAGGUGGACUGCUUAAAUCCCAAGCUUCUCUAAGAUAGUUUAUAUCUUUUUCACAAAACCUUUUAAUCAUGUAAAUACGCAAAUCUAUAAGACUCAAAGAAUAAGUGUGAACUAGAGAUAUCUUAAAAUAUAUUUUUCAAAUUAGCAAGUUCUUAUUAAAAUUCAUUUAUUUGAAACUAAUAAAAAAGUCUACAGAAAGGUAUAUCCAGGCUCUGAUACCAAACUGUAACAGCCUAAAUUUUCAUAAAUCUUGAAGUGUUACAAAAAACUCACUUUUCUUUUAUUAAAUUUGGAAAUUUAAAAAUAAAUUUCUUUAUAAAAAAAAUAACUGGAAUAUUCACAGAUUUAAGUUAAUACACGGAAAUUGUAUUUAAAAAAAAAAAAACAUAAUCACCUUACUAGUUAAAUAACAUGUUUUUGAACAAACUAAACUAAUAAAUUGAAAGAUAGAAAAUUUAAUUCUUUUCAUUUUUGAAUCCUCUUGGCAGUCCGCAUCACCAUCUCGCUACAGUUCUAAUCGAUCUGUACUAACUUGAAAAAUUUGUACACUAAUGAGUAUUAAAAAAUUCUCAAUAAGAUACAUGUAGUUUUCAUAGAUAAUAAUACAACAAUAAAAUCUACACUUUAUACCACUCUUCUCUUGUGGACUAUAUGUGUAACCAAGCAACACACCCAUCUUAGGUUCUCUUAGAUUUUCGAAGAAUUUUAUAUCCCUUUUUAAAGAACCCGAAGAUCCAUUGACAAUUCAUGCAUAAAUUACUGAAUAUAAAAAUAUAUGGAAACAAACCAGUUGCACAAAAGUAUCUAACUCGUUAUUGAAAGGCAGUAAAAAGAAAAUAAAAUUUGGCACAUGAAAAUUCUAAUAUUAUUUUUCUAUACUCCCCCUCUCUCUCUCUCUCUCUCUCUCUCUCUCUCUCUCUCUUUAUUUUCUCUUUAUAGUGAAAAUUCUGAAUUGAGUUUGUAUGCAACUAGAAUUGAAAAACUGUGUAAUACAAAGAAUUUGAAUUAGAAUUAGAAUUGGUUUCAAGUAAUAGAAUUUGAAUUGUAUUCAAGUAAUGUUUUAAUAUCGAAUAAAAAUCACGUGGUGUAAGAAUUAAAAGAGGAAGAGAAUUUUACUUAAUUAAUAUUGCAAGCCCCCACCAGCUCUAUUAACCUAUUAUUCUUUUAAUUGGACUUAACUUGAUGUAGUAUAAUUCAAAAUAACUUUUUUCUCAUGUUGAAAACUUCUAAUUAAUUAGGAGUUACAAAAAGAGUCCAAUAUCGAUACACUUAUUUUCUUUCUAUUAAAAUCUAAUUAUUUGGUCAAAAUAAAAUUUAAAAUAAACAAUUUCACUUUAGUUCCACAACUUUCAAAUAUAAAUAUAUAGCAUAUAGAACAAAUAAAUUUUAUUUUGCAAAUUUUUUGGGGCAUUACAAUGAGUCACUUGAUUCAUCGUUCAAGAAAUAUCGAGAGUUCCUAGUUCUUGCAAUAAUCUAGCAUAUUCGUAGCAACUUGCAGGAAUGAUUUCAUAAUAGAAGUACAGAUUCACAUAUGUACAAGCAUGUUAAUCCCUAAAUGGUUUCGUUACUACUUUACUAAUGCUUAGAAAUUUUUUUAUAUUUGAUUACAAACGUACCAUAAUCAUCACUGUAAAUAAAUAGUAAGAUAUUAGUUUGGUAAAUAUGACUAGAUGUUGAGUUACAAAGGUAAAAAACUUCGAAUAUUUAUUGUAGUGUUGUUGUCUUCUUCCUCACAAAAGCUAGUCUAUCUUCAACUUGAUUGUUCACUUCUCUAGCCAUCAUGGGAAUGAUGAUCGUCAUUGGCUCUAAUAUAUCCUUCAGACAACUAUGGUCGAAGUCGUACAUAUACAUCAUUGACUAAGCAAAAAUGAUCUUGGCUGCAAAGCAGCGUAAUUUCUCUACCACUGGAAUGUAUGGAUGUAUACAUCUCUUCCCUCCCUUUCCCUAUCUCGGCUCAACAUGACCUCUCACAUAUGCCAAGAUGUAAUCAAAUAACACAUACCUAUCUGGGUUACUGUCCCUUAUAUACUUUUCAGUAUCAAUAGUAUUCUUGAAAGCAUAUCUCAAAAUUACUCGUCCAGGACAAUCAAAUGACUUUGAAUAUCUCCUAGCCCAAUCUCAUACAAGUUCCAUCACCAACAUGCUACAUUAAUAAAAAAUAAGAAAUAAAUAUGAACAUAUACUAUGUGAACAACAUGCAUAGGAAAGUGUGCUUACGUCGUCUCACUUCCCUAAACAUGUCAAUACGUCAGUAAUAGUUGUAUUUUCCAACCUUAUAUGUGACUCUAAAAAACAUUAAGUUAGUGAUUGCAUAAAUAAGUUGAAUACUUCUAGCAAAAGCAUAAAUUACGUAACCGGGGCAAAUAUCGUCAAUCCAUCUUUCAAACACUUUCUUCUCGAUUGGGUCGACGUUAUGAUAAAAGAUUGAUGUCAUGUUGUCUACAAAUGUUCCUCUUUACAUUGGCUAUGAAGGAAGAAGUAAUGUACUAUGACGCAAUCUCGACCCUAUGUCUACCACCUUCGACACUGAUACAUCCACAAUAUGCUUCCUGCCCUUCUUUAUCCCUAUCGCUAUUGUCACAUCUUUCGUCCCUUCUUCAAUUGCUAUCGUUAUAUCCUUUAUCCAUAUUCCAUCACCAUCGUCACUUGCUCCGUUAGUUCUCCUACCACCAAUGUCACGUCCUCCACCUCUAUCGUCACCACCUCCACCCCAUCUUCCGUCACUAUCAUCACACCUUCCAUCACCUCCGUCAUCUUUUCAUCUUUCCCAUCCAUCAUAUCUACAAUCCACUUUUCUUUCAUCAUAUCUGCAAUCUAUCCUCAUCCAUUCUCUCGUCAUUCCUCGCUACUCUUGUUAUUUCCUAUCAUCAUUUCAUGUUUCCUGAAAGUCUCCCCAUAUGUAUGACGAUAGGGUUUUACCUACUCGCUUAUAGAGUGAAACAUCUUAUCUAAACAUCCUAAAUCUAAUCGUAGAACUCCUAGCUCCAACAGUAGAACUUGAGUUAGGUGCUAAUAAAGACGUAAAAUGUUAUAUUUUUCAUCCAUUAAUGCUUACAUUUUCAUUAUUGAUUGAUGCCUAAAUGUACUCAGUACCCUUAUAUUUUGAUUUAGGUUGCAAAUGGAUGAAUACGAUGAAAAUUGGAAGACACGAGCGAAAAAGGAUUAAAGUGAAAGAAAAUAAAGGUUCGAAGACCAAAUUGCAAAUAUCCAAAAGGUGAACAGGAAGGCAAGACAAAGAUGUGAAAGAAUUGAAGACUAAUUUGAAGAAGAUAUGAAGCAUUAGAAGAAGGAAAAACAAAAAAGAAAUCGAGAAAACGAAGUUUGAGGGCCAAAACCCAAAAGUUGGAAAGAAGUUAAUACUAUGCGGUCACAUUCUUAUGUGCGAAAAAAAAUCAAAACCUAAAAAUUUUUGAACUAUGCAAUCGCAUAGUUUUCUCAUAGCUUACUUCUGGCACGUAAUUUUCAGUUUCCGAAUUUAUGUAAAAUAUUUAUGGUAACAAAACUCUAAAUGCCUUUAUAAACCCUAAAUCGUCUCAGAAUGGAAGAGAAUGCUCCCCAUUCCCCUCUUCUCUAUUUUGCUAUUAGAAUUAUCAUGUGUAACUAAAUUCUUGUACUUGGUCGAAAGAUAUUGAAGCUUCGAAACCAUUCCAACUCUGAGAUCUAAUUUAAUUUCAUAGUUUAAUUCAUGUUUUGGGUAUUGAAAGUUCUUCUGUACUUACUUUCAUGAUUGUUGCAUUUAAUAGCUAGGAGGCCUACUUGUUUACUAUUUGUUGCAAUCUACCGCUAAGUUAAACAUCAAAUCCGUAACUGUUUGAUCUCUUUAACUUGUAAAGUAACCAAGGUUUAAUAAUUUGCUGCGUUGGAAUUGUUAAAUGUUAGGAAAAACGUUUAACUAAAUUAAAUACAACCUCUUUUGUUUGUGUUGUUUAGUUUCAUCGAU
This 81782-nucleotide long non-coding RNA is filed under the name Olea europaea (common olive). Its description in RNAcentral is "long non-coding RNA (OEUR_LNC005434)". Lineage: Eukaryota; Viridiplantae; Streptophyta; Magnoliopsida; Lamiales; Oleaceae. The record is from RNAcentral.